GCUUGUGAGGGCAGCGGUUCAAGCCCCCACAAAAGCAUUUGUGGGGGCUAACGUGCUUAUUUGUUUAAUAUUUCAAAAAUUUCCUCUCCCUCGUGCAAUACGAGUGGAGUAUGGACAUCCCUCUUCUGUAAGAGAUUAUUUGUCUGGGCAUGUACUUCACAGAAUUCAAUGUAAUAAUAUAAGUCCCAAUCAUGUAUUUCUGAUUGUAAAUAUCAGUGUAAUAUAUCUGCUAUAAUAGCAGUUGUAAAUAUCUGUGUAAUGCAGUAAUAUGAUGAUUAAUCAGUAUUCAAAAAAAAAAAAAAAAGAAUUUCCAUUCUAUAGAACGAAUAUAUAGUAUAUUAGAAUAGAAGGACACUUUUACUUGGUGCUACUCCACGUAGUUUUUAAAAUUCAUACUUUAAUUAAUGUCAGUAAGUAAUAUAGGAUUUUUACAUGCAAUAUUUUUAUUAGUUUAGGAAUAAAACUUGGUCACAAUAGGAAUGGACAAGUCUUGUGUCAAUAUUUUACUCUUUUUUAUUUUACUUUAAAAAGAUUUUCCAAUGCAUAUUAAUAUCUUCAAAAAGUAGAUAUUUAUUUUGAUUUUAUUUUCUUUUCAGUUAAGAAGCAAUAAUAUUUAUAUAUCUAAUUUCCCUGUUUUUUGUAAUUUUAUUUUUAUUUCAUAUUAUUGUUUAUAAUUCAAAUACUAUUACCUUAGAUAUUUUUCCCCGCCACAGAUAACACAGCGAUGGCAAAGUACAGUCUUUAGAAAUUUGUCAGCGUCUAAUUGCUGCUGAGCUUCCAAAACCCAAAACCUCAAAUUUCUAGCCUCAAAACAGUAGCAAUCGAUGCCUGCUUUUCAUUCAAUUUAGUUAUGCGCUGAAAAUCUUUAGCCAAUUAAUGAUAUGGCUCUAGUCCCUAGUCGCCAGUUCUGCCCAGCAACAGCCAUUUUCGAUUCGUUUCAAUCAUCUUUUCAAAGUUCCAAAGUACUCGUUUUCAUUUCUUCAGGGGCGGUCACUCAAUUCCUCUUAAAAAUAAUUUCUUUUAUCAAAAUUUCUAUUCAAAUUCUGCCCAUGAACAAAAAACCGUCCAAGAAAAAUUUGUUCUAUAUCCACGAAUAAAUUUUUUUCUCAACAUGGAAAAGAUGAUAAUGCUAAUUCAUGUUCUAGUAGCAGUUGGUUAGUUGAAUGGAACAAACCCAAUAAAUAUAACCGCCUGAAACCGCCUCAGGCAAGCGUGAAUUAUAGAAAAAAUAAUGCGGAUUUGUCAGGUCUAGGUUUUGCUAGGGUUGAUAGUGAUGGUAAUGGUGUUGGUGGUGUUGAUGAUGGUGGUAGUACAAUGGGGAAGAUUGUGGAGAAACUGAAGAAAUUUGGUUACGUUGGUGAUGGUGAUGGUGAUGAUGAUGAUGAGAGGAGAGGCUAGGAAAAGAGAGAGUGAUUGAGAAAGGGUCUAUACAGGAUAUAUUUUACGUCGAAGAAGGAUUGUUGCCGAUGCAGGAGGGUGGCUUUCAAAAGAAUCGCCGUUGGGGUUAGGAGAGGAGGUAGGGAGUGACGGAGAAGUGAAGUUUCAAUGGGAGAAGCGGAAGGAGGAGGAAGUGGAAGGGACUUGUGAAUGCAGUGCACAAGCAAUAGAGAGAUGACAAGGUCACAUUUGAACAGCUACUAUGAAGAAAACAAAUUAGUUCAUGCAAAUAUGCAUAUCAAAUAAAGAUGAUAUAAAUCUCUGUAGUGUUGCAUACAAAGAUCUUUGAGAGCCUCAAAAUAUGUGUCAAGUGAAGACUGAAUAAAGUUGCAGGUCGGGAUAAAAGAUAGUACCCUUCUCGCCUCCAUGCUAAAUUGUUUGAGCAUAAUCUUUCCCAAAUCUACACAAGAUAAAUGACAAUAUCAUUUCCUGCCAAACACCAAAAACUCCUCAAGGUCUAAACAAUGAUCAUGAUAAUCCGUAUCUAAUGUUUCUAUCAUACGCUAAAUUCUGUACAUUCAUUUUGCCACAUGGAAGCCCAAUUUCUAAAACAGCCACACAUACAUUUGUGGCGGAUGAAAGAGAGAAUUAUAUUUUAAAAAAAAAAUGAAAGAGAGUCUCAUUUAAAAGCCUAUGCUUUGAACCGCCCCGUAUAAUGUACAAAACAAACAGUCAAUAACACCCAUUUCAUUCAAUCAUCAAGGUACCCCAGAAUAGCAAUAAUAAUAGGAAUCCAACGGCCGAAUGAAAAAUAUUCACAACUGUUAAUUAUAAUGUGAGAUGGUGAAUUAAGUUUGCUUUCCAGAAACGACUGCGUUUUGAGGCUAUAAAAGCUUCUUUAGCUUGUGCUGCUCAGCUGUUUUGUAACGGAAAACAGAUUAGUCAAAACGACGGGGCUGUAGCGCGUUUUGAGUAACAGCUUAAGUAACCACGUGAGGAAGCAUGUGAUGAAACCUGAUUCAAGUUCGUUAAAGUUUGUUAACCACGUGUCAACAAACUGUACAGAAACUAAGCUAGCUAUCAAAAAAGACUAUAAAGGCUGUUUUUCAGGGAUAGUUAGAUGAUGAUUCUAGAGUCUUGUAGUGAGGGUUUUGUGAGAGAGAAAGUGUUAUCUUAUUCUCUGUAAAAUCUGUUGUAAGGCUUUGUAACGAUCUUCAUUGUUAAUUCAAUAAAACUCAUCUUGAGUCUUUUCCCGUGAAUGUAAGCUGAGCAUUCCAUGUAUUAGGAAAUUGGUUGGUGAAGCAGGACCGCAGCUAAAAUGAAAUUGUAAGAAAAUAAAGAACAAGUACAAAAAUUAGACACAAGAAAUUACAUGGUUCGGCUUUUAACCUACGUCCACGGGCGAAAACAGAAGGAAAAUAUUAUACUAGUGAAAAAGAGUUAUAAGUAUUAUAGUAUUUUAGCUCACUACCCAAAAUCCCAAUACACCCAAACUCUCAAAUCACUAAACACAUAAAACUCUCUUCUCUGCAAGAAUUAUUUCUCACAACUCUCGACUCUCUCUACAAAAUUGGAUGCAAAAUGAAAUGGGGAGCUCUGCCUUUUAUAGCCAAAAAAUGGCUAUUAAAUUAUUAUUUUUACCACUGUCUUCAUUCUUCUAUUUUCUUUUUUCUUCUUUUUCUUCAUUCCAAAUUUGAUGCUGCCAAAUUCUUCUUCUUUUUCUUUGGACGACACCAAAACCUUCAACAUUUUCUUUGGCCGGCUGUCAAAGCCAACUUUGCUUAUUCAAGGCUUCUAGAUGUUGCAACCAAUUUUGAAAUUCUCCCACUUGGAGAUCAGAUUGAGAAUCAAUCAAUCUCCAUACCAUCAUUUCUGCUUCGCCAUAAUCAUAUUGUCUACGUUUCUGCUAGGCCACAAGAGGAUAUACUCUAGAUAAACUUGUCAAUAUUGAUUGGCUUGGUCAAAACAUCUGCUAGGUUCUCUUUCGUAUGGAUUUUCUGUAAAUCCACACUUCCGUCUUCCAUUACUUCUCGAACGAAGUGAUACUGAACUCCUAUAUGCUUUAUCCUGGAAUGAAAGGCUGGAUUCCUUGGCAUGUACAAGGCACUCUGACUGUCACAAAACAUAAAAAUUUUCUUUUGUUUGUGCUCGAGUUCCUCCAAUAACCUUUUUAUCCAAAUAGCUUCCUUGCAAGCUUGUGUAGCUGCCAUGUAUUCUGCUUCUGUUGUAGAUAAAGGCACAACGGUUUGUAGUUUCGAAAUCCAGUUUACGGCUACUCCCGCAAGUGCAAACACAUAGCCAGUAGUAGAUUUCCUUUUAUCAAGGUCUCCUGCAAAAUCUGAAUCCACAUAGCCCCUGACAGUAAAUUUCGAUCCUCCAUAACAUAAUGCAACAUUUGAGGUUCCUCUGAUAUAUCUCAGAAUCCUCUUCACAGCUAUCCAAUGCUCUCCACCAGGAUUCGCCAUGUAUCGACUGACUGCUCCCACUACUUGUGCAAUGUCUGGUCUAGUAUAUAUCAUAGCGAACAUUAAACUUUCCACUGAUGAUGCAUAUGGUACUCGAGACAUCUCAUUCCUCUCUACUUCAUUGCUAGGACACAUACUUAAGAAUAAUUUGAAAUUAACAGGAAGUGGGGUAGAAAUUGACUUACAAUCUUGCAUGUUGAAGCGCCGCAAGAUUUUUUUCAAGUAAUUCUUCUGCGAAAGCCAAAUCUUCAUGUUAUUUCUGUCACGGUGAAUUUGCAUCCCUAGAAGCUUGUUUCCUGGUCCCAAGUCCUUCAUUUCAAACUCUUUAGCCAACUGUGCCUUCAAUUCUUGGAUUCGAUCUUUGUUGGGUACUGCUACCAACAUGUUAUCCACAUACAACAGCAAAAUAAUGAAAUCAUUAUCUUUAAACCUCUUGUAAUAUGCACAAUGGUCUGAACUGAGUUUGUUGUAUCCAAAGCCCAUAAUGAAGGAAUGAAAUCUCUUAUACCAACACCUCAGCGCCUGCUUGAGACCGUAUAGAGAUUUGUUCAACCUGCAAACCAAGUUCUCCUUUCCUAUUUUUACAAAACCUUUUAGUUGGAGUAUAUAUAUUUCUUUUUCAAGUUCUCCAUGAAGAAAUGCAGUUUUCAAAUCUAACUACUCUAUAUAUAAGUCAAAUGUAGCACACAUUGCCAGGACUACCUUGACUGUUGUGAGUCGAACCACCGGCGAAAAUAUCUCAUUGAAGUCAAUACCUUCUUUCUGAGCAUAUCCUUUCACCACCAAUCUCGCACGAUACCGCUCCACUUGGUCAUUGCCAUCACGUUUGAUCUUGUAGACCCAUUUGUUUCUAAUGGCUUUUCUUCUACGUGAUAGUGGUACAAGUUCCCAUGUCUUGUUCUUGUGUAGAGCUUCAAUUUCUUCAUACAUUACUGUCAUUCGCAAAGCAACAUCUGAGUUGUUUAAAGUUUCAUGGAAAGUUGAAGACUCUCCAUCCUCUGUUAGAAGACAGUAUGCAACAUUGAUCUCUGUGACAUACUCCGAGUGCCACGUUGGCGGUCGUCUCUCACGAGUUGACCGACGAACUUCUGGAGCCUCGGACUCGACUGGUUCUUGUUCCUCGUGCUCUGGUGCUGCUUCAGAAGAAUCUGAAUCUUCUGGAUUAUUUUUCAUAUAUACCGGUACAGUCUCUGACUUUUCUUUUACAGUGCUAUCAUUAUCAUCUUUCCUUUGCAGUUGAUCUUCUACAAAAAUAACAUCUCUGCUGAUGACGAUCUUGUGGGCAAUGGGAUCCCACAGAUGAUACCCCUUUACUCCAUCAGCAUAUCCCAAGAAGAUACAUCUUCUAGAUUUUACAUCCAGUUUUGCUCUUUCUUGAGCAUUGUACAUCGCGUACACAAGACAUCCAAAUGCAUGUAAGUAGGAAUAAUCAGCUGGCUUUCCAGUCCACAUCUUCAUCGCUGUCUUCAGCCCAAUAGCUGUAGAUGGCGACCGAUUUACUAUAUAACAAGCAGUUUUAGUUGCUUCUGCCCAGAAUGAAUUGGGUAGACCAGCAGUCCUCAACGUAGCUUUUAUUCUUUCUGUAAAAGUUCUGUUCAUCUGCUCCGCCACUCCAUUUUGUUGAGAAGUGUAUGCCACCAUGAACUGUUUUUGGAUACUUUCUUGCUUACAGAAAGCAAGAAACUUGCCGUCUGUAUACUCUCCACCAUUAUCUGUCCUCAAGCACUUGAUCCUUUUACCAGAUUCAAGUUCCAUGUAUUUUUUAAACACUAGAAAUACAUCUGACUUUUUCUUAAUUAGAUACACCCAACAUCUUUUGGAAUAAUCAUCAAUGAAAGUCACCAUGUACUUUGCACCUCCCAUGGAUAUAUUUGGUGAUUUCCAAACAUAAGAAUAAAUCAAGUCUAGAAUGCAUUUACUUCUAGCAAUAGAUCGAUUGAAUUUUAAUCUAUGCUGCUUACUUGUAACACAAUGCUCGCAAAAUAGUAAAUUUACCGAUUUGAGCCCCGGAAGCAAUUUUCGCUCAGAGAGAAUCUUUAAACCUUGUUCCGACAUGUGGCCAAGUUUGAGAUGCCACAUCAUCGUUGACUUUUCUCUAUUUGAUGCGACACACGUGUGGAGUGUUAGAAAAUGUAUAUUUGUAAAGGAGAAAAUCAUCAUUUUACAUUUCAAGUUUUACUAACAACCCUUACUUUUAUGUAUUUAAGCUUCUUGCAAUUUAAUUAUGUGUGUUUAAUUUUAAUUAAGUAUUUUAUGUAUUUUAGGGGCAUCAUGAUCAUUUCACAAUAAACGAGAGAUCAAACGGCAAAACGGACAUCACUUUUAAACUCAGGACGGUCGAAAACUUUAGGAGGAGCAUAAAAGGAAAAAUGACACUAUUCACAUCAUAUCAGUGGACGAAAAAAUCGCACGUACGGUACAUGCAUCACACAGGAUUAUUUUCAACCAAACCGCGUCACUGUUCACCCGGGUCAAACCGUGUUACUGUCCAUCCACGUGGUCAAACCGCGUACUGUUGACUGAUGACGUGGCGCAAUCCUGAGCGUCCAAACUGUUUUUAAUCCGAUGGCCAUGAUUUACUCCAUGUAUCUAUAAAAAUGGGGCUUCUCCCCCUAAUUUGAUAUCUCUGAAUCCAUUUUUGGGAUCAAUUUUCUGUAAUUCCUUCUCCAUCUUAUAUUUUCUACGUAUUUUAAUAAAUUUCUAUUUUGCCACUAGUUCAAUUAUGAGUGGCUAAUUUUCUUUCAAGCUUGGGUUGAAGGUGAAGUCUCAACAUGUGUCAUGGGCUUUAUUUGGUAAAUUUACUUUCUCUUCCCCAAUAAUUUUUGUGGAUGUUUUGACUUCUCGUCGAUAAAUAAUAAUAAUCUUGUCUAGUACCGCCCUGGUUUCACCGGCCCCCUAGUACAAGGUUAUUAUUAUUUGGCACGAUAAGCCCUUAGCACCAUAUUGAUUAGAGCGUGGUUCAUGAGGUGUGGAUUCCCCCUCAUGAUUUAAUUGGUAUUAAUAAGGAAUAUUUAUCCCAUGAUGCAUGUUGAUACGGAUCCAGAUACCCAAGUACUUCAUUUCAAUAGAAUUCUCUUCAAUUUAUUCUCGUCAUUUCAAUUCCAAUUUUAGAAUUUAUUCUCGCCAUUUUAAUUUAAGUUUUAGCAUAUUCCAAAUCAUUUCCACCACAAAUCCAAUCCCCGAUUUACAAAAUUAAUUCUAUACACAAUUAAAAUCCACCUCCUCGUGGGAUCGACACUCGUCACCAUUAGUCUAUACUACAAUAGAUUCGUGCGCUUGCGAGUACAUUAAAAUUUGCACAACAAGUUUUUGGUGCCGUUGCCGUGAAGGUAAGUAAUUUUAAUUAAUAGAAUUAAUUUUUGUGAAUAAUUCCAUUUAAUUGUUUUCUUGUAUUUAUUUCUUUAAAAAAAAGAAAAAAAAAAGUGAAUAUACAGUUAAAGGUUAGUAUUUCUUUUCUUUUUCUCUUCUUUAAAAUUUUAAUUUAAUUUUCAAAUUAAUUUUCUUUGUAUUUUUUUUUGUUUUGUUUAUUUUAUUAAUUUAAUUUUUAGUUAAUUUAUUUCACGUAUUUGUUUUUGUGUAUUUUUAUAGAAAGGUUGUAAUAGUGCAAUAAGGUUAGUAUCGUAAUUUCUCCCUCUUCUUUAUUUUUAUUUGUUUUGUUCCCAUCUUUAUUCUUUAUUUUAUUUGUUUUGCAUGCAUGGUCGUAGGUCAUUAUUUUCUAAUCUUGAAUCUAUAGACCUUGAAUUAGAAAAAACACUUCGCACACAAAAGCACAUUAAAAAUAAAUUUAGAAUGGACUUACAAGCACCACAGGAGAGGCCAUUUAAGGACUACUUCAGUCCUCUAGCUAAUUUGAGCACAUCAUGCAUAAGAUACCCAAAUGUAGCUGCUAGGAGUUUUGAACUAAAACCUAGUGUGCUAAAUUGUCUCCCCACAUUCUAUGGCUUAGAAAAUGAGGACCCAUAUAAUCAUUUGAAUGAUUUUCAUGCUAUUUGUCAAACAUUUAAAUAUGAGAAUUUUUCAGAUGAUGAUGUAAAACUUAGACUAUUUCCAUUUUCUUUAAAAGAUAGAGCUCGUUCAUGGCUUAAUACAUUGUCUGCUAAUAGCAUUGCAUCAUGGGAACAAAUGGUUACAAAAUUUUUUAAUAAAUAUUUCCCAACGCAUAAAACCAAUGCUAUUCGCAGGGAAAUCUCGGAGUUUACCCAGAGAGAUGACGAGCAGUUUUUUGAAACAUGGGAGCGAUUUAAUAGGCUACUCUUGUAGUGUCCACAUCAUGGGUACAAGAAAUGGCACCAAUGCCAAUACUUUUUGGAGGGAUUAUUGCCGAAUGUGCAAGAAUGGCUAAUGGCAACAAGUGGAGGAGAGCUAAUGUCAAAAAGUGCAUCAGAGAUUUGGGAAUUCUUCCAGCGACAAGCGGAUAAUUCCCAAAAACGGAGUUGAUCACUCAGGAACACUAGAAGAAUUAAGGGAGUAAAUGAGGUUCACAUUGGCGAGUCAACUUCGGGAAUCAAAGAAGUCAAGGAGAUGGUUGAGGGUCUUGCUCGACAAAUAGCAUCGUUAUCGACUGCUAAAUCAAUAGAACCACAUGACCAUGACUCAUACUCAGAUCAAGCCAAUGCCAUAUGUGUAAUGAGAAAGCUAUCUAAUUAUAACUCAUACUCCAACACAUAUAACCCUGGAUGGAGAGACCAUCCCAAUUUUUCAUGGUCUCAAGGAUUCCAACAGAAUGGACCAGCAGCUCCAGCUCCACCAAUGCAACAAAUUCCUCAAAAUCCUCAAGCCUCUCAGCCCCCAUUUAGACCAUACAAUCAAAACCAGAAUUACUCUCAACCCAGACCAUGGGAGGAUUCAUUCCAGAAUCUCAAGAAUCUUACUCACUCCACGAUUGAGCAACAGAACCGCACCAUUGAUGGACUACGAAAUGAGUUGAGAGCAGGCUUCAACUCACAAGCUCAAUCAGUUUCAAGCCUCGAGAAGAUGGUGGGACAACUUGCUUCUUCAGUUCAGACCUUGGCAAUGACUGUUGAGAAAGGCAAGUUUCCAAGUCAACCAGUGUCUAACCCUAAAGGAGUACAUGAAGCAAGUACUAGUUCACCAUAGCAACAUGGAGAGGUCAAAGCAGUAAUGACCUUGCGAAAAGGAAAAGAAGUCGACAACAAAGUGGAGAUGCCGAUGACAAAAGAAAAUCAAAUUGUACCUGUAAAUGCUGAGGACUCAUCACCGGAGGAGAAAGAAGAAACCAACCCACGAGAAUAUGUUCCGAAAGCUCCAUUUCCUCAAAUGUUAGCUAAAGGAAAAAAGGAAAAAUCUACAGGUGAGAUUCUCGAAAUCUUCAAACAGGUAAGUGUCAACAUCCCUUUGCUUGAUGCUAUUAAACAAGUUCCAUCUUAUUCCAAGUUUCUUAAAAAUCUUUGUACUAAAAAGAGAAAUAUUCAUGUUCAAAAGAAGGCAUUUUUAAUAGAAAAUGUUAGUUCUAUCCUCCAACAUAAAAUUCCUCUGAAAUGUAAAGACCCAGGCUCCCCCACUAUCUCAUGUAGUAUAGGGAACCACACAAUUGAGAAUACUUUGUUGGAUUUAGGAGCUAGUGUAAAUCUUUUGCCUUACUCUGUAUUCAUGAAACUUGGACUGGGAGAAUUACACCCAACUCCAGUGGUGUUACAGCUUGCAGAUCGAUCCACGAAAAUACCUCGUGGUAUUGUGGAGGACGUGCUUAUCCAGGUAGACAAGUUUUAUUUUCCUGUUGAUUUCAUUGUAAUUGACACUCAACCAAUACAGGAUUCAAGGAAGCACAUCCCCAUUAUUCUAGGCCGACCUUUCUUGGCAACUGCGGAUGCUCACAUUCAAUGCAGGACUGGAAAUAUGCAGUUGUCCUUUGGCAACAUGACUAUGGAGCUGAACAUCUUCAACAUUGCCAAACAACCUCACAAUACAGAUGAUGGAAUUGUUGAUGUGGAUUUAAUUGAAGCAUUAGUUGAUGACACUUUUGUUUCAAACCUUAGUGAUGAUCCUUUACAAACAUGUUUAACUCACUUUGGUUUGGAUUUUGAUAUUGACAGAUCAGUCGAUGAGAUCAACGCCCUAUUUGACUCAGCACCAUCCAUGGACACUAAUAAAUGGAAGUCAAGAGUUAAACAACUAGCACCAUCAGAGAAGAAAUUCAUCCCAUCAUCAGAAUCACCACCGAAACUCGAGUUCAAACCAUUGCCCAACACUUUGGAAUAUGCAUUUUUGGGAGAGGAAAGUUCUCUGCCGGUAAUCAUCUCAUCAUCCCUCAAUGACGAACAAAAAGGUAAGUUGUUGGAUGUUUUAAAAGAGCACAAAUGAGCAUUAAGAUGGACCAUAGCGGACAUAAAAGGUAUAAACCCAGUAGACUGCAUGCAUUACAUUCACCUCGAUGAAAAUGCUAAAUCUACUAGGGAAAUGCAACGUCGGUUAAAUCCUAAUAUGAAAGAAGUUGUUAGAACCGAAGUCCUUAAGCUAUUAGAUGCAGGUAUCAUUUACCCAAUUUCUGGUAGUUCAUGGGUCAGUCAUGUACAAGUUGUCCCCAAAAAGUCAGGAGUCACAGUAGUUACGAAUGCCGAUAAUGAAUUGAUACCCACUAGAGUAACUACAGGAUGGCGUGUAUGCAUUGAUUAUAGAAAGUUGAAUUCUGUCACACGUAAAGACCAUUUUCCUUUACCAUUUAUCGAUCAAAUGCUUGAUAGAUUGGCAGGCCAUGAAUUUUAUUGCUUUCUAAAUGGCUACUCAGGAUAUAAUUAGAUUCCCAUAGCACCAAAAGAUCAAGAGAAAACUACUUUCACUUGCCCUUUUGGCACAUUUGCAUAUAGGAGGAUGCCAUUUGAAUUAUGUAAUGCACCUGCUACAUUUCAACGAUGCAUGUUGAGCAUUUUUUCUGAUAUGGUUGAACGAUUCCUUGAAGUCUUUAUGGAUGACUUUUCUGUCUUUGGUGACUUAUUUGAUCAAUGUUUACAUCAUCUAACACUAGUUCUGUAGAGAUGUAUCGAGAAAAACUUGAUCUUAAAUUGGGAGAAGUGCCAUUUUAUGGUAAAACAAGGUAUUGUCCUCGGUCACAUCAUUUCAAGCAAAGGUAUUGAGGUUGACAAAGCCAAGGUGGAUUUCAUUUCUAAUUUUUCUCCACCCAAAACAGUCAGAGAAGUAAGAUCUUUCCUUGAGCAUGCUGGUUUCUAUCGACGUUUUAUUAAAGAUUUUAGCAAAGUUUCUAGACCCUUAUGCAAUUUACUUGCUAAUGAUGUACCUUUUAUCUUUAAUGAUUCAUGUCUUGUGGCUUUUGAAAAAUUAAAGCAAUUGUUGACAUCAUCACCCAUCAUUCAGACCCCAAACUGGAGCUUACCAUUUGAGCUCAUGUGUGAUGCAUCUGAUUAUGCAGUAGGAGCAGUAUUAGGACAAAGAGUUGAUCGAAUUCCCCACGUUAUUUACUAUGCUAAUAUGACAUUGAAUGAUGCACAGUUGAACUAUUCAACUACUGAAAAAGAAAUGCUAGUAGUAGUGUUUGCAUUAGAGAAAUUUCGAUCUUAUCUCAUUAGUUGUAAAAUAAUUAUAUUUACAGAUCAUGCUGCUCUUAAAUAUCUUCUCACAAAGAAAGAUGCAAAAGCUAGACUAAUUCGUUGGGUGUUACUUUUGCAGGAAUUCGACUUGGAAUUCAAAGAUAAAAAGGGCACAGAAAAUGUUGUGGCGGACCAUCUCUAUCGUCUUCACUUUGACACAAUUACAGAACCAUUACCAUUAAAUGAGUCAUUUCCAGAUGAGCAAUUAAUGAGUGUGGAAGUAUUACCUUGGUAUGCUGAUAUAAUUAAUUAUCUUGUUACAGGUAAACUUCCAGAGCAUUGGACCAAGCAAGACAAGACCAAAUUUUUUGCGGAAAUAAAGAAUUUCUUUUGGGAUGACCCUUAUUUGUUCAAGUAUUGUGCAGACCAAAUUGUCAGACGAUGUGUCCCAGAAAGUCAAAUUCAGAAUAUUCUUUCAUUAUGCCAUGAACAAGCUUGUGGAGGCCAUUUCAGUGCUAAGAAAACAGCGACUAAAGUUUUACAAUGUGGUUUCUAUUGGCCGACUAUAUUUCGAGAUGCUUACACUUUCUGUUCUUCAUGUGAUAGGUGUCAACGAAUGGGGAGCAUUACACGAAGGAACAUGAUGCCACUAAAUCCAAUUUUAGUGGUUGAAAUUUUUUACGUAAGGGGUAUCGACUUCAUGGGACCCUUUCCCCCGUCUUUUGGCCAUCAAUACAUAUUGGUUGCUGUUGACUACGUCUCCAAAUGGGUAGAAGCAAUUCCAUGUAGGACCAAUGAUCACAAAGUGGUGAUAGGAUUUUUGAAAAGCAACAUUGUCUCACGCUUUGGAUUCCCUCGAGCAAUAAUCAGUGAUGGUGGUGCCCACUUUUGUAACAAAGCAUUCAAAGCUCUUUUGACAAAAUAUUCAAUCACACACAAAGUGGCGACCCCGUAUCAUCCGCAAACCAGUGGCCAAGUUGAGAUCUCCAAUCGAGAAAUAAAGCACAUAUUAGAAAAGACGGUGAGGUCGGACAGAAAAGAUUGGUCAUUAAGACUUGAUGAUGCAUUAUGGGCAUAUAGAACGGCCUUCAAGACCCCGAUUGGGAUGUCACCUUACAGGCUAGUGUAUGGAAAAGCUUGCCGCCUACCUGUGGAACUCGAGCAUCGUGCAUAUUGGGCUAUCAAGAAAUUCAAUUUUGACAUGCAGCAAGCUAGCUCAGAAAGAAUAUUACAGCUGGCAGAACUUGAAGAAAUUCGCAAUGAUGCAUACGAAAAUGCCAAGAUUUACAAGCAACGGAUGAAAGUCUUCCACGACAAGCAAAUUAUGAGAAAAUCAUUCACUCCAGGUUAGAAAAUGCUUUUAUUCAAUUCUCGCUUGCACCUAUUCCCAGAUAAGUUACGCUCUCGUUGGUCUGGUCCAUUUAUUGUUCAUACUAUUUUUCCACAUGGGGCAAUUGAAAUUAAAAACCCAAAGAAUGGUGUCACAUUUAAAGUCAAUGGUCAAAGAUUAAAGCCAUAUUUAGAGUACCAAGCACAUGAAGAAGACACCAAAAUAAAUUUGAGUGCCCCACCAGAUUUGAAUUGAUUUUUUUUUCUUCUUUUCGGUGAUUUGAUUUUUUUUUUCUCUUUAUAUUAUUCUUUUGCUAAUUGAAAUUAUUUUUGCAUAAGUGUGUUUGUUUAACCACUAAGUUUUCUCUUAUCAUUAUUAAUCAUGAGUACCAUGUUUAAACCGUUCCUCCUUAACAUUCUUAAACCACUUCAACGUGUCAAAACUCAUCUCAAAAGAUAGAUUCAAUUUUGUAAAACACAUCGCAUUUGGGCUCUACAACCACCAGAGUUAGUAGCCUAUGUUGAGGGUUUAGAAAGCCAACUUAAAGAUAUUGAGAGAAGUGUUUACGACAUCCAGUUGGAGCUUGAGGUAAAUUCAAUAAGAAGACGAUUUUAAUUUUCUUGUGUGUUUUAAUUUGUUUUUCUUUUUGGUGUGUUUUAGUUUGUUACCCCGGUAAAGUGGCGGAUAACGGUACUCCGUGACAAUCAAGUCGGUUACUUCAGUUUCCCAUAAUAACUGAUAUUCUGAGGCGAAGGUAUUGAUAGAAACGAGAUUCAAGCAAAGCUUCACAAGCGAUUCCCUUCACUUCCUCAGAAUGCCCUCCUUACGAUCUAUAAAGCCCGGUCUGAACGCAUGCGAUUACUCAUGAGGAAUAACAUACCUGCAGACAUCCGUUGGUUAAUCGAGGCUAAAGUACGAUUGGCAGGUGAGUUACCUCCUAAAUUUAUUGCAUACAUGCCUGGUUGUGGUAAAGGAAAUUAUGCAAGAAAACGACGAGCUCGAAGAAUUUUUGUUGCUUGUCAUAAGUGUGCCAGAAUGAGUUGCGAUAGAAACCCAUGUUCUUUAGGGAUGGUGUCUGAUAACAGAGAAGAUAAGAUUCAAUUCAUUAGGGAUGGCUUGAAUAAGAAGUCAUUGGAUGAUAUCCUUCUGUCUCUUGAAACGCAUCCCAGUGGAUAUGUGCAAGGAGCGAUUCUCCAGUUAUGGCCAUUAUUCCAGAAAGAGCAUGCACGAUAUAGUCUCGGGAAUCUGACUAUAAACGACCAUGUUUGCCAGUUUAUAAGAAAACUGGAUGGGAAGCCUAUCCUCGACCCAUAGAGGGCGUUCAAGCCGUUUCUGGACGUAAAACCAGAGAAAGAUGUGAGCCACAGUCGCAACUACGUGUAAAUAUCCUUUUACUUUACUAUUAUUUUAUUUCAUUUCACUGUUGUUUUAUUGUUUGCAUUAUUGUCUUUAAUAAUUUUAUUAUUAUUUUCUUUUUCCUUUUUACUGUUUCCUUUUUGACUCACGAGUCAUGUGCUUCACACAUUAUUUGACACUGACAUGUUACCUCAUUCACAACUGUGAUCCACUGUCACCAAGAUUCUUAAAUGUGAUUUCUUUUGUCAAACACUCACAAAUUGUUUUUGAGAAGUAUUCCAAUGGCAGCUACUCCCAAUAGACAAUUCAAGAACAUUUGUGUGCUUUCUGGAUUUACCUAUGGCAAACAUAAAGAGUUCGUUGAGGCAGCCAUAGAUCUUGGUCGAAGUAUAGUAGCGAGAAAAUUACACUUAGUGUAUGGAGGAGGUAACCAAGGGUUAUCAAAAAUGGUCUCAGAAGCAGCUUUUAUCAGAGGAAGUCAAGUGUUAGGCAUCAUCCCAAGAGUCUUAAAACCAUUGGGCAGUUCGUCUGACUCAUCAACUGGAGAAGAGUUAGUCGUCUCAGGUAUGCAAGAAAGAAUAACUGAAAUGCUUAAUCAUGUUGAUGCUUUUAUUUUCCUUCCAGGAGAUCUUGCAACACUAGAGACACUUAUCACACUAGCAUCUUGGGCCCAUCUGCACAUCCACCAGAAACCCAUCGGUUUGUUAAAUGUCAAUAACUUUUAUGAUGGCUUUAUCGCAUUUCUUAACCAUGCAAUAAAAAACUAUUUCAUUCCUUCUAAUGUGAAAAAACUCUUUAUUUGUGCUCACACUGCUAAUGAGCUACUUGAUAUGUUACAAGCUUAUAAACCGGAGCCAGACCCCUAGACCUUUGUGUUAGAGCGACCAAAUAAUGAUGGUAACAGUAGCCACAGUAAGAAGUACAAAUUAGAUUUAACUCUCCGCCUGUAAAUAUUUUCUUCUGUGUUGCACCACCCAGGUGAUGUCUUCUAAACUCUACUUCUUUUCUUUCAAACAUUGAGGACAAUGUUUCGUUCUGGUUGGGGAGAGGGAAUAGUCGACAAUUGUGGAAUCUUGAUUAAGUUUUUACUGAUUUUUUGUUGUAGAAACUAAUUGUUGCUAACUUUUUGUGUUAAAGAUGACCGAAUAUGGAGUGUAGUGACUCUAGAAACGCAUCUUCAUCGUUUAAAAAAACAAACAAAAAAUAAAAAAAAAUUCAAAAUUUUUUUUUCUUUUUCUUUAUUAAGUUUUGAUGUUUAUUUUUCUUCUUCUUUUUAAUUUCUCGUUUAUAAAUAUAUUCAAAUAUUUGAGUUGAAGAUGGCUGAAUAUGGAGUGUCGUGCCUCUAAAAACGCAUCUUCUUAGUUUAAAAAAAAAAACAUUUCUUUUUCUAAUAAAUUUUUCUACAUCAUUUUCACAUUUCUGCAUGCAUAUUUUCCUUUCAUGUUUAGAAUAGGUUGGGGGGUAGAAUGUUGUUUAAAAAAAAUAAUAUUUGUUGUAUUAUUUGUUUUAACAUUGGAUGACAUGAUUAAUUUCAAAUUUUAGUAUUUGUAUUAUCUUUGGUCUUAAGUGAUGUUACGCUAUAUUUGCUACUUUACAUGUUGAUGUCGGAGACAAAUAUGAGUUGCUUGAAGGAAUGAACGUGUCAUAAAUAAGUGCCAAGUGAGUUGUUGAGCCUAUCAUUUUCUUGGAGAGUAACCUUUUUGCCCAUUCUCUAUACAGCUUAGCAGUUUAUUAUUUUACACACGAUUUCUAGAUUUCUUUUGAGUUAACCCUUAAAAAAAUUGUAAAAUAAAAAAAAUAAAAAAAAAAUUAUGUGUUGCUAUAUUGGGAGGCCCAUCUAACUAGUAGAUAUGGAUGAUUAUUUAGAGCCCUAAAAGAUGAUGGAAAUGCCAUUUUUGAUCCGUUUGAGCCUUUCUAGCCAUCCCUUUUGUGAAAUAUCCAUAGUUAAUCAUUUUGAGCCUUUUUUUAAAAAAAAAAACUUUUUAUUUGUUAAACUUAUCAUCUUGACCCACUCCGAUUUGGAGUAUUACCCGAUAUUUUAUAAGUUCCAUCACCUAUUUAUGUUUGAGAAAAAUGUAAAUAAUUAUUUUGUUCAGUGACAUUGUGCCAAGCAAAAGCAAAAAAAAAAAAAUGUUCCAAAAAAAAAAGAGAAAAAAAUAACAAUAAUAGGUGAAAUGCACCUUGCAACUUCCAAAAAAAAAAAAUAUCCUCUGCAUUUUUCUCAAACAUACACUUUGUUUUUCUUAUUUCCCUUCUGUGUAAGCCAUGUCUCUAGCCUACGUUAUGUCCUAAUAAAAGUCCUUCUUGAUUUUAGGGAACUAUAGUUUGAAGUAGAAGCUAGUUAUAUGGGCUAAAAAGAUGUAGUGGUGCAUAAUAAUAAAAGAAAAAGAAAUAAAUAAAAUUGGUUGACUAGCAUUUUGUUUGACUUGAGAUCGUAUUAUUUCUAAGCUGAGGGCAUAUUUCUUUCAUCUUGGUGAGAGCAUGUGAUAUCACUUCUUUAUUAUUUUCUCUCAAUUACCAUUCAUUGGAGUGACUAUUUUUAUUGGGUUUAAUUUCUUUGUGAGAGUGUCACUACUUCCAGUGAGAUUUUGGGGUUUGACAUGUCAUUCUUGAAAGUAGCUAUAACAAAGUCUACUGGGCUGAUUUAUGUAGAUGGUUGAUGUGGGUGUGAUGUUUCUUUAGACUGGAGAUAAUGCUUAUACUUUUAUUUGAUUGCUAUCAUUAAUCUGAUUGAAUAAACACGAGUGUUUCUAUUAAAAAAAAAAUCAUUUUGGAUUUGAAUUUCGUUUUCGCUUUAUUUGCUAGGGACUAGCAAUAAGCUGGUUGGGAGGUGUGUUGAGUGUUAGAAAAUGUAUAUUUAUAAAGGAGAAAAUCAUCAUUUUAUAUUUCAAGUUUUACUAACAACCCUUACUUUUAUGUAUUUAAACUUCUUGCAAUUUAAUUAUGUGUGUUUAAUUUUAAUUAAGUAUUUUAUGUAUUUUAGGGGCAUCAUGGUCAUUUCACAAUAAACGAGAGAUCAAACGGCAAAACGGACAUCACUUUUGAACUCAUGACGGUCGAAAACCUUAAGAGGAGCAUAAAAGGAAAAAUGGCAUUAUUCACAUCAUAUCAGUGGACGAAAAAAUCGCACGUACGGUACAUGCAUCACACAGGAUUAUUUUCAACCAAACCGCGUCACUGUUCACCCGGGUCAAACCGUGUUACUGUCCAUCCACGUGGUCAAACCGCGUACUGUUGACUGAUGACGUGGCGCAAUCCUGAGCGUCCAAACUGUUUUUAAUCCGAUGGCCAUGAUUUACUCCAUGUAUCUAUAAAAAAGGGGCUUCCCCCCCCUAAUUUGAUAUCUCUGAAUCCAUUUUUGGGAUCCAUUUUCUGUAAUUCCUUCUCCAUCUUGUAUUUUCUACGUAUUUUAAUAAAUUUCUAUUUUGCCCCCAGUUCAAUUAUGAGUGGCUAAUUUUCUUUCAAGCUUGGGUUGAAGGUGAAAUCUCAACAUGUGUCAUAGGCUUUAUUUGGUAAAUUUACUUUCUCUUCCCCUCUAAUUUUUGUAGAUGUUUUGACUUCUCGUCGACAAAUAAUAAUAAUCUUGUCUAGUACCGCCCUGGUUUCACCGAGGUACUUGCUACACAACCCUGAGCAUUUGAUGACUCAGGUUCUUUGCCCUCUCUUCUCUUCUGGUACUCCAACACUCUUUCUUGACGUGCCCUUUCUUGCCACAGUUGUAGCAUUUAAUAUUCUUCUUACUUCUAGAUUUUGACUCCCACUGGGGCCACGUUCCGUUGAUCUCCCUCUCGUCACCGAUAGCGCCUCCGCUUGCUGCGAACUUGCUUGUCUAUUUUUCUUAUAUUUUCCGCCUGCUCUCCUCAUUUAAUACAGAGGCUGCAACAUCGUCGAAAAUUAGACUGUCUACUAGAUUGUUGUUCGUCAGGUUGAUGACGAGUUAAUCAUAUGAAUCUGGUAGACUUUGAAGUAGAAGCUCUGCACGUUCAUUCUCCUCUAUAUUAUAACCCAACGUUGUGAGUUGUGAAAAUAGAGUUUUCAAGGUGUUGAUGUGGUUAAUCACCAUUGUAGAUUCCGCCAUUCGAAGAGUAUAGAGUUUCCUCUUCAAGAAAAUUUUGUUGUGUAGUGACUUGGCCUCGUACAAUUUUGUGAGAGUAUCCCAUAUUUCCUUUGCUGUAUUUUUCUCUGCCACACUGGAUAAUACUCCAUCUGCAAGUGCCAAGUGUAGAUCAGCAAUGGCGUUGCCAUCUAUCUCAUUCCACUUGUCAUCAGUUAUCUCCACGGGUCUUUCUCCAAUUGGUGUCAAGUAAUUAUUUCUCCUCAAUACAGCUUUCAUCUUCAUUUUCCACAACGAAAAAUUAUGUCCGUUAAAUUUCUCAAUUUCAUACUUUGUCGCCAUUUUGUUGAUAAAUACAGCAUACAAGCUAGUGUACUAUCCUGAAUAGUUGUGAGUAUGUGUAAGAAUGCACGCCAGGAAAGUUCCCAGGAAAUACUGGAGGGGUCACAAUGGUCCCACUUAAAACCCAAACUCCUUAAACUCUUAUCGCCUUUGUGACAGAACUUUCCUACACAUGUACAAAACCACACAGUUGCUUUACUCACACCACUAUUCUCUGCUUUGCACCGCAAAAUUCUUAGAUCGCUACCGUAUACGUGAACAGUACCGUAUAUGUGAAUAGUAUCGUAUACGUGAACAAUACCGUAUACGUGAACAAUACCGUAUAUGUGAAUAAUACCCUUACGUCAAUAGUACCCGACUCCAAAAAUAUAACCAAUAGCUCUGAUAUCACUGUUAGGAAAUUGGUGGGUGAAGCAGGACCGCAGCUAAAAUGAAAUUGUAAGAAAAUAAAGAACAAUCACAAAAAUUAGACACAAGAAAUUACGUGGUUCGGCUUUUAGCCUAGGGCCAUGGGCGAAAACAGAAGGAAAAUUUUAUACUAGUGAAAAGGAGUUACAAGUAUUGUAGUAUUUUAGCUCACUACCCAAAACCCUAAUACACCCAAACUCUCAAAUUACUAAACACAUAAAACUCUUUUCUCUGCAAGAAUUAUUUCUCACAACUCUCGAUUCUCUCUACAAAAUUGGAUGCAAAAUGAAAUGGGGAGCUCUGCCUUUUAUAGCCAAAAAAUUGCUAUUAAAUUAUUAUUUUUACCACCGUCUUCAUUUUUCUAUUUUCUUCUUUCUUCUUUUUCUUCAUUCCAAAUUUGCUGCUGCCAAAUUCUUCUUCUUUUUCUUUGGACGGCACCAAAACCUUCAACAUUUUCUUUGGCCGGCUGACAAAGCCAACUUUACUUAUUCAAGGCUUCUAAAUGCUGAAUCCAAUUUUGACACCAUGCACAAUUGAACCAUGUAAAAGUCUUGGUUUAUGUGGGUUCUUGUUUUCAGUUUUUAUUCUUGAUUAAUUUCUUGUUGUUUUGCUAUUGAGUGAAUUGAUAUGUUUAGAUCUUAGAAUUGUGCAACUUGUAUUGAUUUGAUCACAAGUAUCUUGAGUAGUGAUCAGUCUUGUUUAGCUUUAUAAGACUUGCUAAUCACUACAAUUAUUAAUAUUAUUAUUUUGUGUAAGGGGAAGAUUUAUAUUACACACACACACACACAUAUAUAUAUAUAUAUAUACACAUUCACUACAUUUCUUUUUUAACUUCAUUUCAAGUGAUCAUGUAUUACGUUGAAUUACGAUUUAGAUAACCAAAAUGCGUAGGAUUAUUCAGCAUACAGUUAAUCAACCACAAUUCCCUUAUAUUUCACAGUGGCAUCAAUCAUAAGCCCAUUAUAUUAGAUUGACAACAAUUGUACAAUAAUUAAAGAACUCAAUUUUUUUUUUUUUUUUUUUUUUUUUACUGCUUUAACAUUGGAAUUUGUCAGCUAAAACUAAUGAGGUCCUUUCAUCCACAACAAAUUUAUACACGUGGCGCACUCUUGACAAAUUUCUUAUCACAUCAUGGGCCGUUAAAUACAUAUGGUAUGUUUGGAAUUGCUCUAUAUUUGACAUAUGUAUAAUAAAUAAAUUUUAAAAGUGAUUAUUACACAAUUUAUAAAUAAUCAAUUUUUGCAUUGAUUCUUAAAAGUAGGAAAUUGUAACUUUACGAAAAUUAAUUAUUUAAUAAUGUGAUUAUGAAUUGUUUAUAUGUCAUUUUUACCCUCCUUAAUUUUUCUUAAUCCCAAAAUAACCUUGUGUCAAUAUUUAAAUUUAAUUAGCUUAUUGUUUAAAUUUAGUUACCUUAUUAACUAUGAAAUAUUUAUUUGAAUUUUAUUAAAUAAAAAAAAAAUAAAACUUAAAACCCGAGGCCACCGCGCCCGGCGGGGAGCCACCAUUGUUGACAUUGGCAUUCAAGCUUGUGAAACAUUGUUAGCAAUAAAAAAAAAAGCUCAGAAUCCAACGAUCUAUGCACCGGAGUGAAUAUUUCCGUCCACAGCAGUUCGGUUUCACGGCGGAGAUGCUGCAACCUUCGUCAUGAAUUGCGCGUGUAGUAGGAUUGGCCAUUUUCUGACAAAAUCUUACGCUAUAUUUGAGCACAUCAUGGUCUUAGGGUUCGAUUGGUAUAAGCGGUGUUGAUAACGGACCAUUUCCGGCAGUAUCUGAAAUUUUGACCGCUGCGUGCGGUGAACUUGUUCACUAUUUUCCGACGGUCAUGAUAGUAAGGGUCUCAUCGGAGAACUAGGAUUUCAAUGAUCAUGGUGGGGCGUUCCGAGGGCGACAUCCCUCCUCAUCGCCGGUGAGUGGCCGAUGAUCUAUUUUUUAUUUCUCCGGUGAUCUAUUUUCAAUUUCUUAGUAAAUAUUUUUUUAAUUUUAAAGUGAAAAUAAACACCAGUUAAUGUUAAUUAUUUUUUGAAACAUCAAUGGAAAGUUAAAAAAAAAAAUAUCGUAUUUAUGAUUUAAAGAAAGUAUAAAUAGAAAGUUCAAAAACAUAAAAAUAUUUCUUUACUGAAUAAUUUGCUUCGAAAUAAAUUUUAAUUUUUUGAAUUAAAAUUUUAAUUGCUUGUAAUACAACCAAAUAAUAUCAUUAGUUCACUUUCGUCAUUUCAAUUUACAUAUUUCCUUUCAUGAUUUACCAAACAUGCAUGUCAAAUUAUAUUAUAAAUGAUUAUGGUAUAAUUUUAAUUUACAAAUAUUUAUUAAAUUAUUUAUAAAACUGAUUAUUUCAAAAUCUAUGCUAAAAUAUAUUAUUUGAGAAGCUAAUGCAAUCCCAAACAUAGCAAGAAGCAUUACAUAAAAAGGAGGCAAAGAAUAAGGUACAUAAUAUAGAUUUCUCUACUCUUGAGUCAUUUUGGUUGUUUACCCGCCUGACAGAAAGCGAAAGAAAAUGUCAAUUGUCAAGUGUGAUGGGGCAAGCAAAGCAUAUCGAUCGAUCACACGGCAAGCUGCAGCCUGCAGUACUUAAAGACAUCCAGGUCCAGGAUUUAACUAGUAAGCAUGUUGGCGGAUUUUUGAAUAUGGAGGCAAAUAACAAUAAGAGAAUUUGAUUCGUGUUUGCACACUUUCUGUUAAAGUUUUAUUUGCUCUCACUAAUUUUGAUUUGUUAUAGAGUUUUAAUAACAAAUUACCCUUAAGAUAUAACAAAUUCUGAAUACAAUCUCUAACAAAUAAGAUUGUAUUCUAAGAACACAAAAGAAAAAUUGUAAAUAAUCUUGUAUAUAUCUUUUUAAUCUAAUGUAUGUGUCUAUUUUAAUGAAGAACAUGUUUAUAUGAAAGAUUACAAUAAUUAGAAAUGGUAUUUUUCAAAGACACUCUUUUGGUUUGAAAUUUGCAUCCAUUCACAAUCAAAAUUUUCAAGCCUGCUAACCGUUUUUUCAGUUGACGCGAAAACACACUUUCUAGAAGAAAAUGGUUAGCCGUGAUCUCAAUAACGGCGAGACGUUUUAUUCCAGAAUGUCAAAAUAAGUUGCUCUCUGGAAAUAAACAGUUAGUUGUUUUCUCCAAAUGAUUAGCCGUUUUCUGUAGAACAGAAAACAUGCUCUCUGGAAUUAAACGGUUAGCCGUUUUUUUCAAAAAUGGCAAGCUGUUUUAUUCCAGAAUGUCAAACCAAAAAAGAAAAAUGUUACAAUCUCUCUUACAAAGCAUCAAACAAUUGCUCAAAUAAAUCUUCGCAUUCGCAAACAUGAAUCCUAAUUUGCACAAGGCUGUAGCUAAGGGUGAAAUUGAACGAGAUUGAAAAAGAUGAACUUGUAAGCAUAGUGACUCACGACAAGAAUACGGUCCUUCAUGUCAACAUUGCAUCCUCUCAACAAGAAGGAGAAAGGGUAUAAACGGAGUUCGUGCAACGGAUACUCGAAAUGUGUCCAUCAUCGCUACUCCAAGUUAGUGACAAAGGUGAUUAAUAUUUUGUAAUAUUUAAUUACAAAAUAUUAAAUAAAUAUUAGAAUCUAUCAUUCCAUUAUUAUAUCUUCAAAAAAAAAAAGUUUCAUUUUACUAUACUUUCAUUAAUUAUCCUUUAUUGUUUCUAGUUGUAGUACGGCAACUCUCGAAGCUAGUCUUAAUAGAGAUCAGUUCAAUGUUAAGGUCAUAACUGACAUUAAAGCAGUGAAAAUGAGUUGCACACAAAAACAAGAUAAAAUAUUAAGUGCUAACCCCCUUCUUGUUUGUUUUUUUUUUUUUUUUAUUACAUGAGACUAUUGCUCAGAUUACAACUCAUAUACAUGAGACUAUUACUGAUAUUUACAAAUCAAACUAUUACUGGGACCAACUGACAUCAAUGCUAAUGGAGCUCUGCCCAGAUUUUAACCCUCACAAAUAUUCGAGGGAUGUCUACUCCUCACUCAUGGGUAAUAGAGAAGACUACCUUCACUCAAAUUAAUUGAACAAGGAAAGACCCCCACAAUGCUUUUGUGGGGGUUCGAACUGCUGCCCUCCAAGUUGGAGGGCAGCAGCCCUGGCCACUCGGGCUACUGCCCGAGUGGUUCCCCUUCUUGUUUGUUAAAAUAUAGCGAAAGCCCCUAAAUAUUUCAAAAUCUAGCAAAAUCUCAUGUCAUCAGUAUUAUUAACGUUUAAUAUUUGGAGUUAUCAUUUAAAUUGGGCUCACACCUUAUUAUUUUUAACCUCGUCGAUGCUGUCACGUGUACUGUGUACACCACCAAAUUGGAUGUUUAAAUUGGAUUAACGCGUUUGAUUUAUUCAAUAAUUAACGAUAAAGUAGCUACUCCUCCCUUCUCACUUCUAUGCUUCAUGGGUCCUUUGUUACAUAAUUCUCGUAACCACGGAUUUGCUCUAAUCAUUACCCCAGAAAUGCGUCUGAGGUCUAUUAGAUCCAUAUUUCUUUUGCAACAAAGCCACUUACUACAUUACCCUAGGCUCUUUAGAGCAUCUUCAAAAGACUCUUCAAAUAAAAUUCUACUUUUUAUUUGAAGAGUCAUAUCAAUACUAAAUAUUCUAAAAGACACGUUAAUUUAAAUUCUCCAAAUAAAAUUUAUUUCUCACUCUUCAAUAUUGCCGAGUGAGUUUCUCCCUCUUCUAUUAAUAUUUUUUUUAUUAUUUAUUGAAAAGAUAAGACUGCAAUAAUUAUUAUUUAUAUUUCCUUUCCAAAACGUAACAACAAUUCAAUUUGAUAGUGGGAAAGAUUUAAUUAAAAUAAUAUUAACUUAUUCUUAUUUAAUGAGUCUUUUGGAGGGGAUUGUAAUUUUCUAUACACUUAUUUGUCACAUCAGUAAGUAAAUUGAAAUUUAAAGAGUAAAAUCUAAAGAGAUACUCUUAGCUAAUAGCUAUUUAGUAUUUACACUAUUUGCUGAUGGUUAAAACUCUUCUUCCUUUAUAGAUAGAAUGAUUGACUUUGAAUUUUAUUAGAAAUCUUAUUUUUUUGUAAAUAUAUUUUUGUAAGUGUGAAGUUGCUCCGAUAAUGACUUAAUGUAAUGAGAGAAAACUGUAAUAUAAAUUAAAAAAAAAGAUUUGUAUUAUUUAAUUAUCAAAAGGUUAGGCUUCGGAGAUUUUUUUUUGGGGGGGGGACAAAAAGAAUUCUUAUUAAAUAGAAAUUUUUUUAAAAAUUGACAAGCUAAGUGUCGCAAAAAAUCUUCCAUCAUUAUAAAACAACUACGGGAAUGAACUGUAAAUUUAGCUAACAACUUCAUUACAAUUAGCUUAGGAGAAAAUUUUGAUCUCUAAAGAGUAUAUUAAUUAUAAAAAAAAAACAGAAACACCGUUAAAAAUAUAAAUUAAAAAAAUAAAGACAAUCUCUAAAUCUAUUAUACUUUGUCACAUGGUAGAGCAAGAACUUUAUUAUGAAUCACAAAUAAAUCUUACUUUAGAAUUUAUAAAUUUUAAUAUUAAAAAAUAAUUUAUAUACAAAUGGCAGAAUAUAAGUCGUUGGUCCUACCUUCAACUGAGAUGAUAGGCCAGCAGUAGGGGUGGGCAUGGGUUGGGUUGGAUAGGAUUUGUGAAAAUCCAACCCAACCCAUUAUUGAAUGGGUUGAGAUAAACUCAACCCAACCCAAUUAAAUAAACAUGUUCAACCCAAUCUAACCCAACCCUUAAAUUAUCGGGUUGGGUUGGAUUUGGAUGAUUGGGUUGAAGAUUUGAAGUCAAAUCAAAAUUAAAAAUUAAAUAAAGAAAAAGAUAUGAAAAUUGAAAUAAAACUUAUUGAAAUCAAAUAUAAAAAUAUUAUAUUAUGAAAAUUUUAUUCACUGUCUAGUAUUUGAUAAAGAAAACUAAAAUAAUAUAUAAUGAAUAAUUUAAAUAAGUACCUUAGUUGAUUGAGAAUUGAGAUUUAAGAGAGUGAUUUUAGUUUUGAAGUUAGAGUCUAAAGUAGUAGAUACAAGAAUAAAAUAAUCUCUUUAUAAGAAAAUAAAAAGAGGAUAAAAAAUAGAUUAAACGUUUCAAUUUUUAGGAUUUUGCAAUUGAGAAUUUUCUUCUUCUUCUUCUUCUUCUUCCUCUUGUUAUUAUUAUUAUUUAUGUGGGUUGGGUUGGGUUACAUGGGUUUAUCAUAAUUAACCCAACCCAACCCAAUUGUUGAUUGGGUUAAAAAAAAAUUGACCCAAUUAACUUAUAAUAACCCACUCAACCCAUCAAAGUUAAAUUGGGUUGGGUUAGAUCAAUUGAGUUGGAUUAGGUUUGUCCACCCCUAGCCAGUAGAUAGAAAUUUUUCUCAUAAGUAAAACUUCUACAUCAUAAAGAAUACUCUUUAAAGAUAAAAUUAAAAGUGACAUAGUUAUAUUAUGUGAUAGAAAAUGUGGCAAAAUAAACAGAUUAAGUCCUUUGAAGUCAAAUUAUCUUGUGAAAGGCGUGUGAUCUAUGUAUUGUCAUAGAAAAUGUGUAGCAUCUUGGAUGGCCAUACUUUGGCAUUGACUCCAAAUAUAACAAAAAGAUAGAAAAGAAAAGAUUGAAAAAGAAAGUGAAAGCCUACCUUUGUGUCUUGAUCUCUUUAAUUAGGGGUCGAUAUUUUCGUAUCUAGUUUAGUUCGGAUUAACCUUUAGAAAUUUAUUGAGUUGAAAGUUAGAAAUAUAUCGGAUUAAAAUAAGGUUCAGGAAACCGAUUUGCUCACCCCUUCAAUUUCCAUCUCAAUGAUAACAAGUUAAGUGAUGUCAAAAAUCUUCCAUCAAUACAAAACAAAAAUGAAAUGCGAACUUAUAUAAAGAAUCUGUAAUAUUAUUAUAACUGACUUAAGAGAAAAUCUUAAAUCAUAAAGAAUAUAGUAAUUAUUAAAAUUAAAUAAAAUAAAGAAACACCCAAAAAAUAAAAAAAAAAUUAAAAUAAAGAUAGAGAAUCUUUGAAUACAUAAUUAAUUAAUUAUCAAAUAGUCAAGUAUGAGAUAGUUCACCACAAACAUACUAAGAGUAAUAAUAUAGUCACAAGCUCUUAUACAAAUUUAUUUUGUACAAAUAAUGUGGCAUGAUAAAAUUGAUUGAAUUAAAUAUCUCUUGGACCACGUGAUUUAUUUUUAUUAUUUUAUAUUUUCAUUAAACCAAUGAAUUAAUACCAAAUCAAUUUGUACAAGAUGAGUUGGUACAAGAGUUUGUGGUUGUAUCAUCACUCAUAUACUAAUAUAAUGAGGAGUGAUGAUACAACCACAAACUCUUGUACAAACUUAUUUUGUAUAAACUGAUGUGGCAUUAAUUCAUUGGUUAAAUAAAAAUAUAAAAUAAUAGAAAUAAAUCAUGUGGGCCAAGAGAUAUUUAAUUCAACUAAUUUUAUCAUGUCACAUCAGUUUAUACAAAAUAAGUUUGUACAAGAGUUUAUGGUUAUAUCAUUACUCUAUAAUGAGACCGGCUAUUGAUGUUCUGAUAUGUGGUAGAGUAAGGAUCCGACUUUAAAAUCUAUUUUUAAUAUUAAGAAAUAACUGCAUAGCAUGAUUAGUUGAUCCUCCCAUAGGCUGAAGUGUAGGCCGGUCUAUAAAAUUGUUUCUCAUAAUGAAUCAUCUAUUAGAUUAGAAAUCUUUAAACAUAGAAUGAAAAGUGAUAAAAUUACAUUAUUUGGUAAUAUAAUCAAAAGUUACGUAGUUAUUUAAUUGUCAAAUAGAGCGUAGACAAUGAAUCUCUGUAUAUAUUUUUUAAUCAACAAUUAUAGACAUACAAUGUAUCAUGUAAUAAUUGCACAUCAUCAUUUCUUAUUUAACUGAAAGGUUUUAUUUGAUACCAUACAAAAUUCAUAUUCUAACUUUGGGAGUCUGCUAAGUUACAUAAUCUGUAACUUAAAGACCUACCUUUAGUACCUACUAGGCUACUACCUAGCUUUAAUACCAAAUGCAUGCUCUUCCUCUCUCUCUACAGGACACGUGUAAUCAUCCCGUUUGAUGUGUAAGUAACAUAAUCUGUAAUAUAUCAAGCUCCCUAACUUUGUGAAAAUAUCCAUGCCUUUAUGUAAUUGUCAAAAUGAUCUAGGUCAAACUUAUCAGUUAGCUGAGCAAUAUACAGUACCAUAAUGAAUUGUCAAAUAAUGUUUUUUAAGAUAAUGACAAAUAAAAUUCUUUAAAACAUAAGACUCAAAAGAGAGGUAGUUCAUUAUGUGGUAGAAAAUGUGGCUAGGUGAAAAGUGCAUACGGAUAAAUUACGCGGGCUAUGGAUUGUAGUCGAGUAGUCUAUAAUUGGAAGGCCAAGUCUAGUUGUUAUAAAGCGAUGCUGCUGAAAACAACAAGAAAGAGCGCCUCGUCCAUAUAAUCCCCUGCUAUUUUCUUGAAGCAACAGAGCUCACAGGUAAACAAGUUGGUGGUGGUGAUGGUGAGUGGUAGGUAGGAUCGGCUUAAUCAUAGCUUUAGGUAAAUGAUUUUAGGCUCAGUUUGGUACUAAAGUGUUAUAAUUUUUAAGGUAUAGUUAUUGAAAAAAAAUUAUAAUUAUAAAGUAAAAAUUAAUAAUAUGUAAUAAUAUAAUUUUUAAAUAAUAAUUUUGAUAAAAUUAGUAAAGAUAUAAUGAAUUUUUUAUUAUACAAGAGUAAAAUCAAAUCAACUUAACUUUCAAACUACAGCAACUAGUGUUUACCAAACGCUUUGAUAUUGUAACUUUUAAGGUACAUCUAAAAAUUACAACUGUCAAACUUCAAUCCAAACUGGUGUUAAUUAGUUCUUCUUAAAAUUUGAGGAAGAAUAUAUAUUAAUUAUAUUAUAAAAUUUAAUUAUUUGAAAUCAAUUCUUCCAACAAUCUAAGAUGUAAAAUUAUUAAAUAAAAUUCUAUUAUACUAUUGCUAAUUUAUGAAAUUUAAAUUCAAUUAUAUCAUUUUCACUUAUUAUUUCUUCACUCAAUUACAUCUUUUUUACUACUCCUUUUUUAGAUUAAACUAAUUUUUCUAUUCUUCUAUUUUUUAAAAUUUUUCGAUACAAUUUUAUUUCAAAAUGGAUAGAAUAGACACACAAAAAUAAUAAUAGUAGAUGAACAAAAGAAUAUAUUAAAAAGAAAUAAGAAUAAAUAAACAACACAACUAAUUAAGAGAAAAAUAAAAAUAUAAUCUAAAAUUUGAGAUGAAAUCAUAAAUUAACUUUAUCUUUAAUUAUUUGAGGAUUUAACAAUGACUAAUAACCAUGGAAAAUAAGUUGUCAAAAAAAUAACCAUAAAAAAUAGAGAAACUAUAAGACCUUUUUUUAUUAUUAUUUUUUAGCGGGAGCAAGAGGAAGAUUUCUCACAAGCAUUACUCUUCCUGAUUAAAGGGGAUAGAAAGAAUAUACUUCAUAAAGUACCAUUAUUGUUAAAUGUUGAUAAAGAUCCAAAGACAUUUAGCAAAGCUAUGUCUUCUAGAGACGCUUCCUUUUGGAGAGAGGCGGUAAAUGACAAAAUUAAUUCAAUUAUGUCAAAUCAAACAUGGAUCUUGGUUGAUCUUCCUCUAGGUCUAAACCAAUUAGCAACAAAUGGGUGUUUAGAAGAAAGUACAACAGUGAUGGUUAUUUGUAAACUUUUAAGGCUAAAUUAAUAGCCAAAGGGUUUAAGCAAAGAAGUGGUAUUGAUUAUUUUGAUACAUAUGCUCCGGUGGCAAGAUUAACAUUUAUAAGAGUGCUCUUUACAAUUGCUUCGUUGAACAAUUUGCAUGUGCAUCAAAUGGAUGUCAAAACCGCUUUUCUUAAUGGUGAUCUUGAUGAAGAAAUCUAUAUGGAACAACCCGAGGGAUUUGUUUUGCCUGGAAAUGAGACAAAAGUAUACAAGUUAGUCAAGUCGCUUUAUGGUUUAAAGCAAGCACCAAAACAAUGGCAUGAGAAGUUUGAUUCGGUAAUCUUAUCUCAUGGUUUUAAGCAUAAUAAUGCUGAUAAAUGCAUAUACUCUAAGUUUAAGAAUGAUUUUGGUGUGAUUAUAUGCUUGUAUGUUGAUGACAUGCUUAUCUUUGGAACAAAUAUGCAAGGAGUAAAUGAUACAAAGAAGUAUUUAACUUCACAAUUUAAAAUGAAAGAUCUUGGUGAAGUCGAUACUAUCUUAGGUGUAAAAGUGAAGAAACAUAGUGGGAGUUACUCGUUGUGUCAAUCUCAUUAUAUAGAGCAAGUGCUUCUUUAAUUCAAUUAUUUGAAAUAUAAAGAAGCCAAUACCCCAUAUGGUUCUAGUAUUAAAUUACUAGAGAAUUCAGGUCGAGCAGUAGCACAAUUAGAAUAUGCCAGUGCUAUUGGUAGCUUGAUGUAUGCUAUGCAUUGUAUGAGACCAGAUAUAGCUUUUGUGGUUUGCCAAAUGUCAAGAUUCACGAGUAACCCUAGUGUUGAACACUGGAAAGCAAUUGGAAGGAUACUUGAUUAUCUUAAAAGGACUAUUAAUUUGGGCUUGUUUUAUAAUGAUUAUCUUAAAGUCUUAGAAGGAUAUUCAUAUGCUAGUUGGAUAACCAAUACAAGUAAUAAUAAAUCCACUUCUGAUCGGAUUUUUACAAUUGCUGAAGGAGCUGUUUCUUGAGCUUCAAAGAAACAAACGUGCAUAACUCAUUCAACAAUGGAAAGUGAGUUUUAUAGCACUUGCAGCUGCAAGCAAGGAAGCAGAAUGGCUGAAAAAUUUGUUGUUUGUGAAAUACUAACUAGGCAACCCAAGAGGGGGGUGCAUUGAGAUUUUAAAAUUUAAACUAAGCAAACCAUACAAUAAUUUAAUCUAAUGCCUUAAUAGAAUAAAAAACAAUAAAUGCAAUAAAGCAUAAUAAUAAGAGAGUAAGGGAAGAGAAAACAAACACAAUGAUUUUUACGUGGUUCAGCAAUCCUUACCUAUAUCCACGCCUCCAAGCUCACCCGGCUUGAAGAUUUCACUAUCCAAGCCUCUCAAGACUUCAAGUUCUUUACAAUUGGCUUCCAAGGUGUCAAUAGACCUUUAUAAUCAAGAGAUUAUCUCCCAAAUCUCUUUACCCCAAGUGUUUCUCACACUUGUACACUCACAAUUUGAUGAGAAAUGAAAAUUACAACAAACAACUCUCUUUUAGAGUGGAUAUACAAAUGAUAGCACAAUGAAGAUUUAAUCUAUGAUUAUUUGCGAAAUUGAAGCUCAAUAUAUGUUGUGUGCACUUGUUUAUGCUUGCAAAGAUUACUAAAAAUGAAUUGGAUUUGAGCUUAUAUAAUUAAAGCCCAAAAACUAGCCGUUAUAGACUUUUUGGUGAUAAUCGGCUUGUCGCUUUGUGAAUCCAGUUAGCUGCUUUUAUGUUACUGUUACAGCAAAUAUUUAAAUUUUGGAACAUCUGGCAUGCCGCUUUUGGAAUUCGGUUAGCCGCUUUCAUUCCAGUAAGCUAUUGCCUAUAAUUCGGCUUGCCGCUUUGUAAAAUCUGGUUAGCCGCUUUGCUACAGUGACGGCUACAGUGAACUAUUUUCUAAAAUUACGCUAUAGCCCAAAACAUCAUAAAACUUUGCACAAAUGUCCAAUUUCAGAAUUUCUAAAUAAUGCUUGUUAUUCCUAAAAUUUUAUGAAAUUAUGAUAUCACCCAAAACACUAUAAAACUUUUCAAAUAAGUCCCUCCCCAGAAUUCCAAACAAUACAUGUUGAUUUCAAAGUUUUCAAAACUCUUUUAAUUAGACCAUAAACUUGAAAAACAACCAAUUUUAUAAAAUCAUUUUUCCAUUAAAUAUAAAACCUUUAUAAUGUGAAAAUAAUGAUUUAUUUAAAAUGUAUAAAAAUAAUUUGAGCUUUUAAAAACUUAAUCAUUCUUAAUUGUGUUUGUUAUCAUCAAAAUCAACAUUAUGGAUACAUAAAUGUUAAUAGUUUGAUAUAAAGUUGUGGUCACAACCGAUGCCAUCUAUUUCUUUAUACUGCGAUAGUGCAGCUACAUUGUCUAGAGCUUAUAAUAAAGUAUAUAAUGGAAAAUCUAGACAUAUUAGCUUGAGACAUGAAUAUGUGAAAUAAUUACUAGCAGAUGGUGUUAUUAAUAUUGUUUAUGUUAGGACUAAUAAGAACCUAGCAGAUCCUUUAACAAAAAGUCUUUCAAGAGACGUAGUUAAGGAUACAUCUUUUGGAAUGGGAUUGAAACCUUUUUUUGAUAAACUCACCAACGACAAUAACCCAACUAUAUAAUAGUUAUACCACUAUUCCAUAGUUAUAUGGGUAAUAACAAGUUGUUGUAUUGUGACUAGUUUGGCACCGACAAUAAAUAAUGUCAUUCAAGAUAUUCGGUGCAAAUAGCUACAAGGUUGAGGUUGAGUAUUUACUCUGAAUGAAGUUCAAGUCUUAUAGUAGAUAAAGACAUGAUUUGAAGCUUCACCUAAGUGAACAUAAGAAAUGGUGCCGUUUCUAACAAGAUCGUGGUUUAAUCUUGUAAAUGUUAAUGAAUCCAAGAUAGAGCACAAGGCCAAAAUAGUGCUAAAUAUUGGAACAUAACUUUGAAAUCUGGGGUAGCUUAUAUGUGACGUAUCUCCAGUAUUUACUUAAGAGACAAAGUUUAAUACUUAGCACACUAUUGUCUUGUAAAUGCUUUGAAAUACACUCACUAAUUAAAGGUUAAAAUCAAAAGAUACAUUUUUGUACGUAUAAGUUUAUCAUUAAUAAACCUGAAAAAUAUUACAAUCUAGCAGGUGAUUGUAACAUUUUUAAAUUUGACAUUUUGGAAUAAAACGGCUUGUCGUUUUUAAAAAACGGCUAACCAUUUAUUUCCAGAGAGCAUGUUUUCUGUUCUACAGAAAAUGGCUUGCCGUUUGGAUAAAACGGCUAACCGUUUAUUUUCAGAGAGCAUGUUUUGUGUUCUACAGAAAACGGCUAACCAUUUGGAGAAAAUAACUAACCAUUUAUUUCUAGAGAGCAACUUAUUUUGACAUCCUGAAAUAAAACGGCUCGCCGUUAUUGAGAAAACGGCGAACCGUUUUCUUCCAGAGAGUGUGUUUUGGCGUCAACUAAAAAAAACGACUAGUAGGUUUGCGGAAAAAAAAAAAAAAAAACCAUUUGUGAAUAGAUGCAAAUUUCAAACCAAAGACUGUCUUUGAAGAAGUACCAUUUCUAAUGGUUGUACGUAAUCUUUCAUAUAAACAUUUUCUUCAUUAAAAUACACACUCACAUUAGAUUAAAAAAACCAGAUUAUCACAGAUUUCAAGUGUGUUCUUGAAAUAUAAUCUUAUUUGCUAGAGAUUGUAUUUAGGAUUUGAUAUAUUUGGGGAAUAAUUUGCCAUUAAACUGUAUAACAAACCAAGAAUGGUGAGGGCAAAUAAAACUUUAAAGGAAAGUGUAUAAACACGUCUCAAAUCCUAAGAAAUUUUCCUUAUUCUUUGCCUCCAUAUUUGAAAAUCCUCCAACAUCUCUAUACCCCAAAACUAACCCUACGUGUACCUUAAUCAUCUCACUUUUUUUGCUAUUUAAACCCACAACUAUUCAUCUUCUACUUUUGUUAUUCUCUGUACUCAUUUUUUUUAAAAAUUUUUUAUUUAUAUUCUAGAUUUAAUUUUAGAAACCCACAUCCUCGACAUCUUUAACGAAUUGAAAGGUAAUUUAAUUUUGAAACCCAUUCUUAUGCAAUUUAAGUCCCUGAAAUAAUUAACAUAAUGCCAGCUGCUAACACUUGCCGUAAGUUUCAAUAUCUGCUAAACAAGGAAGGAAAGCAAUAUUUUUACAAACCAGAACAGUUUCAAAAAUUAAUUAAACUUGAGAAGGUCAACAUGAAAAGGAAAAAGAUAGUGAUAUGUGCGUAAAUAGUAACAGAAAAAAAAACACAUAAUAUUAGAGACAAAAAGAAAAAAUCGUUAAAGAUAAAAAAAAAAAAGAAAAAGACAUUUCACUCCUAGACCACAAAAAAAAUAAUGUGUUGUUGUGCUAUUUUUGGACUUUAGUCUUGUUAUGUUAUAUAUAUUUUGUACUCUUUUUUGUACAGACAUCAUAUUAUUCAUAACAAUAUGUGCUGUGUAUUUUUGGCUCUAGAUCGUUUUAUAGGAUGUAUAUAGACCAAGAAAUUUGACUUAAUUAGGAGCUACUUUACUAAUUUCUCUAAGAACUAUAAGAAAAAUCAAAUAUACAAUCUCACAAAUCUUCUUGAUUUCCAAAAAUUAAACAUCAACCAUAGCUAGUGUAAACAAAUCUUACCGUUGGAGUAAAAUCUCCAACUUGAACGCUAAAUCCACACAUUUCUUACUUUAAUCUAUCUUUAGGCAAACAACACAACUGAAAACUUCAAUUCCCUUUCUAUGAAUGAAACUAGAUAUGAAAAUAUGAUGAUUUCUAAGUUUAAAACAUUCAAAAAUCAAAAGCUCCUAUCUUUCCAUUUCCUUUUUAGUGGGUUCAAAAUUUAGUUAGUAUUAUGGCAACGUGGGCUUAUAACUUAUUGGACCAACUAAAGAGAUAUAUGGUCAUAACUUGAAUAAAAAAUGGGCAACGCCCUUGGUUAUUACAGAAUGUCUUAAUAAUUGAGUAUUGAGGACCACUGCCGGAAAAUUUUCCACCUGCCGCUUCCUGCCUUCAGCUCCUCAAUUUUGCCUUCAACAAUGGUUACCUAACUAAUUAUUACAGCACCUAUAAGGCUAAAUCUUCCUGGCACCAAAUUUGAGUUUUAAAAUAAAAUCAAAAGCGCUAUAUAAUCUUCUAGAUUAAUCAAAUCAAAAUACAGAUAAUCAUAUUUUCACUGAAUGCAACUUAUAAUUAUAAAUUUACAUUUUUAUUUUUUUAAACAACCUCAAAAUUAAUUAAAUGAUAAAAGUUUUUAUCAUUAUUUUAUCAUGCUUUUGUUCAUUUAGCAUUGAUAAAAAGAUUGGUUGACGUUAUCGCAUCGGUGAUAACAUAAAACAACGUUGGAUGGCCAGACUUGGCCGUUGACGCCAAUUUACCGAAGACAAAAAGAGAUUUAAAAAAAAAUGAUAAGAAAAGAACAAGCGAAAAGUCGUAGAAAAUAAUAAUUGCAGUCUUAUAUAAGACAACUAGUGGGGUUCAAAGAAACCUACUCCACCCAUUUUUUCUUGCCUUCACAUUUGUCUUUUCUUGCAUUUAAUUCUGGAGUAAUGUAUUCCUACUGAUCGUUCGGUUUAAAAAAAAAAAAAACUGUACACAUUAUCUAAUUGUCAAAUGGUGAAGGUGAACUUGUCAUCAGCCGAGUAAUACACAAUUAUGAAUCGUAAAGAUAGAAUCGGAAGUGUGAUGGUUACAUUGUCUGGUAGAAAAAUGUGGCCAAGUGCAUAGGAAAAAGUCCACCGUAGUAAAAGUUUUGUUGUGAAAGAGAAAUUUUAAAAUAUUUUAGAUGUAUUAUAAUCAAUUGAUAUAAGUAUAAUAUGUAUAAUUAAAUUUAAUAUAAUUAUCACUUAUAUAAUAAUAAUUCAAAAUAAAUAUAUAAAUAUUAUAAUAUUAUUAUUUAUUAUAUAAAUAAUAUGAUACCUCAAACGUAUUUUAAAAUUUUUCGAUGUGAAGAACGUGCGGUCUAUGGAUUGUUGUAGACUUCGAGAGUUGCAGAAGUGUACUUGUGAAGCGAAGCCUGAUACUGAAAGAAGCCUGAUAGUGAAAGAGAAAAAAUAGGCGAGGCUACCUUACAGCUGUUGAAGGUGCAACCUUAUCACAUAAAUAAUAUAAAUGAGAUUCACGGUUAAGAAGCUGUAAGGUCAAAAAAAUACUUGAGCUGCUUUUUUAAUUCAGUUGGCUAUUUUUUCAUCGCUGCCCUCUACUUUCGUCUAAAUUCCCUUAACAUCUAAUAUACUCUUUUUAAGUCCCCCAAAUCUAACAAGCCCAUUAGCUUGUAACUUCCUCUGCUCCAAACAUUUAUGUAGGACACAGUUUGUACUCAAACUCAAAUAUCAUUGCAUUCACAAAGUAAGAUGGAUCCUGAUCUGUACAAGGCUGCAGCUAAGGGUGAAAUUGAUCCCUUCAACAACAUUGCAAAAGACCGUCUUGGAAGCAUAGUGACACACAACAAGAACACGGUCCUUCAUGUCAACAUCGCACCCCAGACCCACAAACACAAAUAAUACACAAUAGAGAAGGAGAAAUUGUAUUGAUGAAGCGUCACAACAGGAAUCAAGUCCAUCAUGUCCAUUGUACCAACAUCUUAUCCCAGACUCAAAAAUACGAUAAGAGGAGGAGAAAGUGUAUCAACCAAGUUCGUGAAACAGAUACUUGAAAUGUGUCCAUCGUUGCUGCUACAAGUCAAUGCCAAAGGUGACGCUCCACUUCAUGUUGCGGCCAAAUGCGGCUAUCCUUCUGUUGUGAAAGCUCUGAUUGAAUUCGCCAAAAGAGAGCCUAAAGAGCUAGAAAGCGGUGUGGAAAGCACAGUGUAGUGAUUUAACACCCCUUAAGACUCAAGAUGCUAAGCCACUGCCCAGGAGACUCAAGUUCUUGAUCAAACAAGUUGCAAAGGAAACCAAGCUUUGAUAACAAGACCCCAACUCUGAUUUCAAUAAGUCCUAGAUCUAAUGAUUAAUAUCACAGUGUAUAACCCAAUCAAGAAACAACUCACGUCACACAAGAAACAGAAUCUUACGUGGUUCAAUUGUGCAUUACAUGCACAAUCUACAUCCACGGGAAAAGCCACAUGAAAAGCUUUAUUGAUGAAUCAAGAAGACAAAUACAGAGCUUCUAAACAAGAGAUUACAAGCAACAAGAAUAAUCUCUCUCACUUUCAGAUCUCUCUCUUAAGCUCUCUCUGAACCACGUGCUUUCUCCCUCAGCAACCAGCUUUAUACUCCUGAUGCUGAAACCCAGAUUGCACAGAAUCUGGACACGUGUGUAACGACAUUUAACAACCUUGAUUCGCUUCUUCACGAGCUGGCUCACGUGCUUCACUUAAGUUUUUCCAAAACGACAGAGGCUGAGUCGUUUAGCUUUUGAACUUAAAAGCCUCGUGCUGCACGUGACAAAUGACUGAAAUCAUUUGAUCAAAACGAACCGUUUUGGGACUCUGAGUUUUCGAUUCAUUGCACUCAAGUCCACACACAGCAAGGCAGAUGCCAGGGAUGACCAAUGAUGAACAAAACACAGCAUCUCGAAGAAAACACUUCAACAUCAAUUAUAGCCAGUGUUAAAAAUCUUACCAUUGGUGUAAAAUUCCAGCUUGAACGCUUAAUUUACACAUUUCUUAUUCUAAUCUCUCCUAACACAAACAACACAACUCAAAACUUCAAUUCCUCGUCUAUGAAAGAAACUACAUACGAUCGCAUGAUGAUUUCUAAGUUUUAAACAUUCAAAAAUCAAAAUCUCUUUUAUUUCCCCUUUCUUUUUAAUGGGUUUAAAAAUUAGUAACACGCCAAUGUGGGCUUAUUAAGUUAUUGGAUCAACUAAUGAGAUAUAACUUAAAAACAGAAAAUGGGCAACGCCCUUGGGUUAUCACGUACAGAAGGUAGCAAAAUUCUUCUCUGCCACCUCCUUCCUACAGUGGCAUUUUCCUAAUCUUUUGAGUGUUGGCACAAUAAUAUAUCAGUGUAUAAAAUAAAAAAUUAAAAAAAAAAGUGUUGGCACAAUAAAGGAUGUUGAUGAUAAUUUAGGGGAAAACUAAAUAAAUAAAUAAAUAAAAGGACGGUUGAUUGAUGCUAUUGGUAAUAAAAUAAUGCUGGGUGGCUAGACUUCGCCGUUGACGCCAGUUGCGGGAAAAGACAAAAAGAUUGAAGAAGAAAGAACGAGCGAACCUGUAAUUCUUGAUAUCUAUAAUUAAUUAGUUGGCGUCGAGAUUCUUGGCACUGAGAGAAAAAUAAUUAUAAGACUGUCAAUGGGAUUCAAACAGUACUACUAUCCCACGCACUUUUUCUUGCCGUCACAUUUGUUUGUUUUUCCUUGGGACUUGACUGUUUCGUGAUUAAUUUUUCAAUAAGUUUUUUUAAUACUUAUCGUAUAAUGUAUAUUUAUGUUAAUGCAUGUGUUACUAUUCAUUAAUUAAGAUAUGCUUUAAAAGAUGAUAAAUAUUAUGGCUAUUAUCAUUUGACUACUUCAUUAAUUGUGAAAUAUUAAAUUAAUAUUAUAAUCUAUCAGUUCAUUAUUAUGUCUUUUAAGGAAAAAAAAAGUUUAUUUUACUAUUUUUUCACUAAUGAUCCUUAAUUGUUAGAACAUCUCUAAAAAGCUCUAUAAGUUUUACUCUUUAAAUAUUUAUUUACUUACCUAUGUGGCAAAUAAAAGAGUGAAAAAAUAUAUUAUUCUCCAAAGACUCUUCAAAUAAAAAUGAGUUAAUAUUAUUUUAAUUAAAUAACUAUUUUUUAAAAAGAAAAGUCAAUAGUAAUUAAAGCAUCUCUCUCUCUUUCUCUAACAAAAAAUAAUAAAAUAUAAAUUGAAGAGGGAGAAAUCAACUCUCCAAAUUUGAAUAGAGAUGAUCAUUUCUUAUUUGAAUAAUCUUAAUUGAAGUAUUUUUUAGAGCCUUAAAUACUGAUGUGAUUCUUCAAAUAAGUAAUAAAAUCUUAUUUAAAGAGUCUUUUGGUGAUGCUCUUACUAAUUCUAGCACGACGACUCGCGAAGCUAGUCUUAAUAGAGAUCAUAUCAAUGUUAAUGUCACGCUGAUAUUAAAGCAGUGAAAAUGAGCUGCGUACAAAAACAAGAUAAAAUAUUAACCCCCUUCUUGUUUGUUCAAAUAUAGCGAAAAACCCUAAAUAUUUCAAAAUCUAGCAAAAUCUCUUGUCUUCAGUAGUAUUAAUUAAUGUUUAAAAUUUAGAGUUAUCAUUUAAAAUGAGCCCAUGCCUUACUAUUUUUUACCUCCUCGACGUUGUCACGUGUACACCACCAAAUUGGGUGUUUAAAUUGUAUUAGUAGUUUUCAUUUAUUCAAUAAUUAACGAUAAAGUGGCCACUCCUCCCUUCUCGCUUAUAUGCUCCGUUAGUCUUUUGUCACCUAAUUCCCUUAAACUUGGAAUUGCUCUAAUCUUAACCCGAGGGAUGUGUCUGAGUCCAUUAUAUCCGCAUUUCUUUUGCAACAAAGCUGCUUAGCACAGUGCCUUAGGCCUCUUAGCUAAUAGCUAUUUACUAUUUAGACCAUUUGUAAAACUCUUCUUCCUGAACAGAUAGAAUGACCGACCUUGAAUUUUAUUAGAAACCUCAUUUUAUUAGAAACCUCAUUUUUUUUGUAAAUAUAUUUUUAUAAGUGUGAAGUAGCUCCAAUAAUGACUUAAUGUAAUGCGAGUAAACUGUAAUAUAUUUUUUUUUUAAAAAAAAGAAGGUUUGUAUUAUUUAGUUAUCAAAUAGUUAGGUUUCGGAGAAUUUUUUUUUCUUGGACAAAAGAAUUCUCAUUAAAUAAAAAAAAUAUAAAAAAUGAAAAACUAAGUGUUGUGAAAAAUCUUCCAUCAUUAUAAAACAACUACGGGAAUGAAUUGUAAAUUCAGCUAAAGCAGCUUCAAUACAAUUAGCUUAGGAGAAAAUUUUAAUCUCCAAAGAGUAUAUUAAUUACCAAAUAAACAGAAACACCAUUAAAAAUGUAAAUGAAUAAAAAAAGACAAAAUCUCUAAAUAUUUUAUGCUUUGUUAUAUAGUAGAGCAGGAACCUUACUAUGAGUCAUAAAUAAUUCUUACUUUAGAAUUUAUAAAUUUUAUAUUAAAAAAUAAUUUAUACACAAAUGACAGAAUAUAAGUCGUUGGUCCUUCAGCUGAGGUGAUAGGCCAGCUGAUAGAAGUUUUUCUCAUAAUGCAACUAAUAACUUUCCUCUUAGAUUAGAAUUCUUAGGUGGUGAUUGGUUGGGAGGAGAGAAUGUAGGAGAGAAAAGUAAUUUAAAUUUCUUUUUUAUUUUCAUUAUUUGGUUUGACAAAAUGUAUAAGAAUUUAAUUUUCAUUAGAAUUUAAUAUCCAUCACAAUGUAGAAUUUAAAUUCCACACUAAGUAAUGAAAAAUUUAAAUUUCUCUUAUAUUAGAAACUAAAAUUUUCAAAAUUAUCCUUCAUCUUUUUAACUUAUUUAAUGCCAUUAAUAAUUAUUAUUUAUGAUUUUAUUUUAUUAAUUUAAUAUUAUAAAUAGACCACCGUCAGAAAAUCGCUGGACCACCGUUGGAAAGUCGCCGGACCACCGCUGGACCACCGUCGGACCUCGCCGAAAUGUUGCCGGACCACCGUUGGACAUCGCCGGAAUGUUGCCGGACCUCUGCUGUCGGCCACCGGACCGCCAUUUUAUUUUUUAUAUAUAUUUUUUAUUACUAAUAUAAAUAGUUUAAUAUUUAAGAUAAAUAAUAAAUUUGUUAAAGAAAAAAAUUAUAAUUUAUUUUCUUAUCAAAUUUUAUAUCAAACCAAACAAUAAAAUUUAAUUUCACUACCAUUCUCCCUUCAUUUCUUCUCCCUUCCUCUCUAUUCCACUCUUUUUCUCUCUUCCCUUUUCUUCAAACCAAACAUGACCUAAAGAUAAAUUUAAAACUGAGGUAGUUACAUUAUGUGAUAGAAAAGGUGGCAGAGUAUAAAGGGAUAAGUCAUCUCGUGAAAAACGUGUGAUCUAUGUAUUGUCGUAGAAAACGAGUAGUAGCUGGCUGUGAAGCGCAAUCCGAUAGUGAAAGUCUGAAGAAAAGGAGCGUUGUUGAUUGACGUUAUCGGUAAUAAACUAAUCUUGGACGCUAGACUUGGGCGUUGACGCCAAUCGCAACAAAAAGAGAGAAAAGAUUGAAAACGAAGUGAAAGGCUGAAAUCUUUCCUGCCUGACUCGAUAUCUUCAAUGAGGGGUCGGUAUUUUCGUGUUUGGUUUAGUUCAAAUCAACCAUUAGAAAUUUAUCGAAUUGAAAGUUAGGGACUUUGCUAGCUUACAGAAUCUGUAAGCUACAGACUGCAGCAUCAUCUGUAAGCUACAGACUGCAGCAUCAGCGUUGGAUGUGGAGUGAGAAAUUAAACAAUAGAAAAUGAGAUGGUGGAAAAUGUUAGUUACUGAGGCUGCACUGUUGACGGGUCCGAAAGUUAGAAGUAGAUCGGGUUAAAAUUAAGUUUACAAAACUGAUUGGCCCAAACCCUUUGAUUUCCAUCUGAAUAGUAACAAGUUAAGUGAUGUCAAAAAUCUUCCAUCAUUACAAAACAGAUACAAAAAUAAAGUUCAAACUUAGAUAAAGCAUUUAUAAUAUGAGUAAAAUUAUGGUACAACUGUGUUACUAUAUUAUAAUUUAUCCAACCGUUAGAUCUAAUUAUAAUUAUUAUCAUAAAUUAGAUCUAACAGAUGGAAGCAACUAUAAUAUAAUACUACAGUUGCACCAUAAUCGGUCCCCUAUAAUUUUAUUAUAACUGGCUUAAGAGAAGAUCUUAAAUCUUGAUCAGCAUAAUAAUUAUUAAAUAAAACAAAGAAACACCCAAAAAAAAUAAAGAUAAAGAAUCUUUGAAUCCAUAAUUCAUUAAUUAUCAAGUAGUCAUGUGUGAGAUUGUCCACCACAGAUAUACUAAUGUGAUGAGACCGGCCAUCAAUGUUCUGAUAUCUGGCAGAUCAAUGAUUGUUGUGAAAAUUUUAAUAUACUCGCAAGCGCACGAAUCUAGAAAUAGAGUAGUGGUAACGAGGUCGAUCCCACAGGGAUUGAUAAAAAGUCUAAUUUAAAUCUAAAAUUAAUAUUACUCCUAACCUAGUUGAGCAAAUUGAGUUUUUAAGAAAAUUAAACCAAUUAAACUAAGGAAGCAAUUAAAAUAAAAGAGAAUUCAAUAAGAUAGAAAUUACCAAGGUUUCAGAAUCCACCACUAUUCAACUAGUAAUUAUCUAAUUAUUAAUUAAUCCCCAAUUUUAGAGUGACAACUCGAAAUCAAUCUAUGUCAUCUCAUAGAUAUAACAAUUAAGCCCAAGUAAUUAAAUCUAAUGUAGGUUCUUUUUCUGCUUAAUAAUAUGACAUCUAAGCCUCCCAUGUAAACAUAUUGAAUAACAAAGAGUCAAAGUUUUCCUAAGCACUCUAUGUAAACAAUUUAAUGAAAGACAUAAAAUCAAAGAUAAUCAUGUAUAAACUUUAUAGAUCCAAGCAUAGAAUUAAUCGAAUAUUAAUCCUAACAAUCAAUAAUGCAUGACAGAAUUGAUGAAAAGAUUUUAAUAACAUCCAAUUAAUCAUGUGAAAUAAAAACCAUAAUUAUCAAAGAACAUAUAUAGGGAAUUAAUUAAAUAAAAAGAGAUAAUUAUUUCAUUGAAUAGGGUUUCAUCCUUAACCUCAGUAUAAGAAAAUUAGCUAGACAUACUUGAAUUGGGAGCAACAAAAUAAAUAAAUUCAGCCAUGGGGAAGCCGAAAUAUUGCUGCUGAUUUUCUUCUCUGUCUUGAAUCCUUGCGUCUCCAGUUCCCUUCUUCCUCCCGUGGCCCUCUUGCCUUUAUAUAAUGUUACUGACUUGCUUAAUCCUUAUUGGAUUCUAAUUGCAUUAAUUCUUCUCCACCGACUUAUAAAGCCCACUCACCAAGGCCUUUUAAAAUUAUUUCCUUAUUAAACUUUGAAAGCAAAGCACACGUUUGACCACAAAAGCAAAAGGCCAAUUAAUGAUUUCUUCUUUUAAUGCCCAGCACAUGCAUUCCAAAUUGCCAAAUCUUUGCUUUCCAAAUGCAUGCCCACCGUUCAUCCUUUGAAGAGAUUGACUUCCAAUUUUGGUCUUCUUGACUUCCAUUAAUUCUUGGUUGCAUUUUUGUCUUCCAAUUUAAUCUUUAUUCCUUCUCAAUUUGAAGUGUUUUCAUGCCCUUUUUAUCAACAAUCUCCAAUUAAUUCCCUAUUCAAUAAAACAAUUCAAUUAAUUAAAAAUAAUAAAUAAAUAUAACUAGCAAUUAUAUUAUUAAGGGUAAAAUAUGUAUAUAAAUUAUGCUCAUCAAAUACCCCCAAACUUAGAUUUUGCUAGUCCUCGAGCAAAACUAAAAUUUAAAACAAAAACAAAAGUAACGAAACAAAAAGUAAAUCCUAACUAAACCACUUUCGCAGGUAAUCGCGAUUGCAUUUAGCGUAUGCAACAAGCCUUUAAACCCCUAGGCGGCCCUAGUGGACGAGUUAUAGUCUCGUGAGGGCUUCAGUGAUGAUACCCACAAACAUCAUUUUCCAAAGAAUUAAAAUAAAAAUAAAAUGAAAAGAACAAUAAGCUUUAAACAAAACAUGAAGAUAGCCUCAAAGAUUGCAUAAAUUAUAUAGCUCAAAGAAAAUUUCAAAGAUUGGCAAAGUUCUAACUUUAAUUCAAUAAUCAAUUCCAUCUCUCUUUCGAUUCUUGUAGUGUGUGUGUGAAAUCAAUUCAAUCAAAUCCAUUCCCAAAAUCCUCAACAUCAACAACCUUCGCCUCAAACAAAGAAAAGAGUAGGUCAAACUAAUCUUAUCAUCUUGAUCUCCAAUUUUUUUUUUCAGGCUUUUAUGUGCAUUUUCUUUUGAUUUUUUUUUUCAGCACAUGCACUUGAUUUGAUUUUUCUUUUUCUCUUUUUUUUUUCUUCUUUUUUUUUUUAUUAACCAUAGUCAGGAGCUUUCACUCUACCCCUUAAGGUAGCCUUCUUCUCAUGGUAGAUUAUCCUCUACAUACUUGUGGUACAUAGGCCCAAAUUACUCAAGGAUAGCUUCACUCUUAAGGGUUAUAGGUAGCUAUUUCUGACUUUGGCGCCCGUGUAUACUAUUUUGUAUUGUGGAGAUAAAAAUCAAGACAAACAGUCAUUUACUCUAUCUAAAAUUCUCAACUCAGGCUAUGUCAAUAUCAAAUUUCAAGUCAAAAUUACAAAAGAAUUGAUAUUAGUGCUCAGGGUUUAAAAAAUCUCAAUCAAGAGGAACUAACACAAGAAUCAAGUAUAAACUAAGACAAUAUUCAACCCUUUUUAAGAACCAUAUUCAUUGUCAAUCAAAUUCUUAUCAUUGGCUUUUCACAUAAAAACAAAAAAACAACAAAAUUUUUUUUUUUUUUUUUUUAACAAACAAAGCACACACUAUUCCCACCCCCAAACUUAUUCAGAACAUUGUCCUCAAUGUUUCACAAACAAAAGAUAUGCAUGCAAACAAAUGAAAAAAAAAAUAAUAAUAAUAAAAACAUAAAUAAUAAAAAGAAAGUUGGAGAGAACACACCUGAAUGGGCUGGGAAAGCUUAAAAGAAAAUACCAAAUGAAAAGAAAACAUUAGAAAAGAAAAAUACUAGAAAAGAAAAGAAAACCUACUAUUAAAAUAAAACAAGAGUGCAAAGAUGAACUUAAUUAAUCCUGAUAAACAGGAUCAUCUAAAAGUAUCUCCUCAACUUCUGGUGUUCUUAAUUCUAAAAAUGGUUUUAAUCUUUGACCAUUCACCUUAAAUAAAUCACCAUUUUUAGGAUUUUCAAUUUCAAUUGCUCCAUAAGGGAAGAUAGUACGAACUAUAAAAGGACCAGACCAUCGAGAAUGUAACUUACCUGGAAAGAGAUGCAAUCGGGAAUUAUAUAAAAGUACUUUCUGACCUGGUGUAAAGGCUUUUCUCAAAAUAUGUUUGUCAUGAAAGACUUUCAUUCGCUGUUUAUAAAUCUUGGCAUUCUCAUAUGCAUCAUUCCUGAUCUCUUCAAGUUCUGCUAGUUGUAAUCUUCUCUUGGACCCAGCUUGCUGCAUGUCAAAAUUGAAUUUCUUGAUCGCCCAAUAUGCACGAUGCUCCAACUCUACUGGCAGAUGACAUGCUUUUCCAUACACAAGUCGAUAAGGUGACAUCCCAAUUGGUGUUUUAAAAGCAGUCCUAUAUGCCCACAAUGCAUCAUCAAGUCUCAAAGACCAAUCCUUUCUAUCUGGCCUAACUGUUUUCUCUAGAAUCUGCUUGAUCUCUCUAUUAGAAAUCUCUACUUGGCCACUGGUUUGAGGAUGGUAUGGGGUGGCAACCUUAUGUGUAAUGGAAUAUUUGUCCAAAAGAGUUUUGAAAGGUUUAUUACAAAAAUGGGUACCACCAUCACUAAUGAUUGUUCUAGGAAAACCAAAACGAGACAGAAUAUUACUCUUCAAGAAUUUCACUACAACCCUAUGAUCAUUGGUUUUGCAUGGAAUAGCUUCAACCCACUUCGACACAUAGUCCACUGCAACCAAUAUAUAUUGAUAACCAAAAGAUGGAGGGAAAGGUCCCAUGAAAUCAAUACCCCAUACAUCGAAGAUCUCAACCACAAGAAUAGGAUUGAGUGGCAUCAUGUUCCUCUUUGAAAUGCUACCCAUACGUUGGCACCUAUCACACAAAGAACAGAAAAUAUAAGCGUCAUGAAAAAGAGUAGGCCAAUAAAAACCACACUGUAAAAUUUUUGUUGCUGUCUUUUUAGCACUAAAGUGGCCUCCACAAGCUUGUUCAUGACAAAAUGAGAUAACACUUUGAAUUUCAUUAUCGGGAACACAUCGCCUAAUAAUCUAAUCAGCACAAUAUUUAAAUAAAUAGGGAUCAUCCCAAAAGAAGUCUUUCACUCUAGAUAAGAACUUUGUUCUAUCUUGCUUAGUCCAGUGCUCUGGGAUUUGACCUGUAGCAAGGUAAUUAACUAUAUCAGCAAACCAUGGUACAACAUUUACACUCAUAAGUUGCUCAUCUGGGAAAGACUCAUUCAAAGGUAAAGAUUCUGGAAUAAAUUUAAGAUCAAGGCGAGAUAAAUGAUCCGCCACAACAUUUUCAGAACCUUUUUUAUCUCUAAAUUCAAUGUCAAAUUCUUGUAAAAGCAACACCCAACGAAUCAAUCUUGCCUUAGCAUCUUUCUUAGUAAACAAAUAUUUUAAAGCAGCAUGAUCAGUAAAAAUAAUCACUUUACAACCUAUAAGAUAAGAUCUGAAUUUAUCAAGUGCAAAUACCACAGCUAGCAUUUCUUUUUCUGUAGUUGAAUAGUUCAACUGUGCAUCAUUGAGUGUCAUACUAGCAUAAUAAAUCACAUAAGGCACACGAUCUAAUCUUUGUCCUAAAACUGCUCCUACAGCAUAAUCAGAUGCAUCACACAUAAUUUCAAAAGGCAAAUCCCAAUUAGGUGGCUGAAUGAUAGGUGAAGAAGUCAAUAAUUUCUUAAGCUUUGCAAAAGCAUCAAGACAAGAUUCAUCAAAGAUAAAAGGUGCAUCCUUAACAAGUAAAUUGCAUAAGGGUCUAGAAAUUUUACUAAAAUCUUUAAUGAAUCUUCUAUAAAAACCAGCAUGUCCAAGGAAAGAUCUUACUUCUUUUACGGAUUUGGGAUGUGGAAGAUUAGAAAUUAAAUCCACCUUAGCUUUGUCGACUUCUAUACCUUUGCUGGAAAUUAUAUGACCAAGAACAAUACCUUGUUUUACCAUGAAGUGACAUUUUUCCCAAUUUAGAACUAAGUUCUUUUCUUUACAUCUCUGCAAAACUAAUGUUAGAUGCUGCAAACAUUCAUUAAAAGAAUCUCCAUAAACAGAAAAAUCAUCCAUGAAUACUUCAAGAAAUCUCUCAACCAUAUCAGAAAAAAUGCUAAGCAUGCAUCUUUGAAAAGUAGCAGGUGCAUUGCAUAAACCAAAUGGCAUUCUCCUAUAUGCAAAAGUUCCAAAUGGACAAGUAAAAGUAGUUUUCUCCUGGUCCUCUGGAGCUAUAGGGAUCUGAUUAUAACCUGAAUAUCCAUCUAGAAAACAAUAAAAAUCAUGACCUGCAAGUCUAUCAAGCAUUUGAUCAAUAAAUGGAAGAGGAAAAUGAUCUUUUCUUGUGAAUGAAUUUAAUUUUCUAUAAUCAAUGCAAACACGCCAACCUGUAGUUACUCUAGUGGGAAUUAAUUCAUUAUUAGCAUUAGUAACUACUGUAACACCAGAUUUCUUAGGAACAACUUGCACAGGGCUAACCCAAGAGCUAUCUGAAAUAGGAUAAAUAAUUCCUGCAUCUAAUAAUUUGAUUACUUCAGCUCUUACCACUUCUUUCAUGUUAGGAUUUAGCCUACGUUGCAUUUCCCUAAUAGGUUUAGCAUUUUCUUCAAGAUGAAUACGAUGCAUGCAAUCUACUGGAUUAAUACCUUUAAUAUCAGCAAUGGUCCAUCCUAUUGCCUCCUUAUGCUCUUUUAGAAUACCUAACAACUUACCUUUUUGCUCAAGAUCGAGGGAAGAAGAAAUAAUAAUAGGUAGAGUGUCAGAUUCUCCCAAGAAUGCAUAUUCCAAAGUGUCGGGCAGUGCUUUGAGUUCCAAUUUUGGUGGUGCCUCCGCAGAUGGGCCAAUUUUCUUCUCAGAAUGAGGCAGUAAUUCUGACUUUGCCUUCCAUUUAGUUGUGUCCGUAAUUGGAGGUGCAUCAAGUAAAGCGCUGACUUCUGCAAUUGCACUGUCAUCAUUAAAAGAUAAAUCAGGAUGAGUUAGACAUGCCUCUAAUGGAUCAUCAGUAUGGUUAGAAAUGAAUGAAUCUUCUACUAAUUCCUCUAUCAUAUUUGCUUCAACAAAUUCAUCUUCUUCUUGUGGCUGCUUGGUAACAUUAAAAAUAUUCAAUUCCAUGGUCAUAUUACCAAAAGAUAGCUGCAUAUUUCCAUUCCUGCAAUUAAUAAGAGCAUCAGCUGUAGCUAAGAAAGGACGACCUAGAAUAACUGGGGUGUGUUUCUUAGGAUCAUGUACAUGCUGAGUAUCAAUAACAAUAAAAUCAACAGGAUAAUAAAAUUUAUCAAUCUGUAUCAACACAUCCUCUAUAAUACCGCGAGGUAUUUUCAUUGAUCUAUCAGCAAGUUGCAAAAUAAUAGGAGUUGAUUUUAACUCACCUAAUCCAAGUUGCAUGUAAACAGAAUAAGGCAAGAGAUUAACACUAGCACCCAAAUCCAAUAAUGCUUUAUCAAAACAUUGGUUUCCUAUAACACAUGAGAUAGUAGGAGAACCUGGAUCCUUAAAUUUUGGUGGCAUUUUACAUUGGAGUAAGUUGCUAGUUUGUUCAGUUAAAAAUGCCUUUUUAGUGACAUGUAAAUUUCUCUUUUUCGUGCAUAAAUCUUUUAAAAACUUUGCAUAUGAAGGAACUUGCUUAAUAGCAUCGAGUAAAGGGAUGUUUAUACUUACCUGUUUGAAUAUUUCCAUAAUCUCACCUGUUGAAGUCCCUUUCUUUACCUUUGUUAACCUUUGAGGAAAAGGAGCCUUGCGAAUGUAAGCUGGCGGGCCACUCUCUUCUGGAUCAUUUGUUGACGACUCUUGUGAUGGAACUGGAUCUGAAGAAGUAGGCUCAGAUAUCUUCCUUGUUGGAACCUCCACUUUGUUGUCAAAUAAUUUUCCUUUUCUCAAGGUCAUAACAGAUUUUGCUUCUUCAUGCAGAUGGCUUGAACUCGAUCCAACUUCAUGCACUCCUUUAGGAUUGGGAAUUGGUUGACUUGGGAAUUUUCCUUUUUCUCUCUCCGCUACAGUAGUUGCUAAUUGACCCAAUUGAUGUUCAAGCUUCAGAAUAGCUUGAGUAUUUGAUUGAAAAGCUUGUUGGGUUGACUGAAUGAAACUUUGAAGUGUAUCCUCUAAAGAAGGCUUUCUUUGUUGGGGUGCAACAAAUUGAGACAUAGGUUGUUGGGCAUGAGGAUAUACUUGGUUAGGAGGGACAAAUUGUUGAUUGGGCAUGUUAAAUUGUUGCCCUCCUUGGUUUGACAAAGGUUGAUUUUGUUUCCAAGAAAAAUUAGGGUGAUUCCUCCAAUUAGGAUUAUAUGUGGAUGAAUAUGGACUAUUGGAGGUUUUCUCAUAUGAUUGUAAGCCAUGUACCUGCUCAGAAUAAGCAUCUGGAUAGACUGGUAAUGAUGGACAAUUUUGUGCUGUAUGAGACAAGUUAGAACAAAUAGCACAAACCUCAUUAGCUACACUAGGAUGAUGAUUUAUAGAUUGGUUCAUAACUAAGGCAUCUACUUUCCUAGAAAGUGUAGCUAGAGUGGAUUUCAUAUCUAAAUCAUCCUUAACUUCAUAUAGCCCCUUUCUAGAAACUUGAGAUGAUUUUUCCCUUUGAUUUGAAAAAUCCCACUGUUGAGAAUUUUCAGAAAGUGAAUUAAAGAAAUCCCAUGCUGCCCCUUCAUGUAAGUUCAAAAAUCUCCCACCAUUCAUAGACUCUACCAUAUGACGAUUUGACAUGGUUAAGCCAUUAUAAAAGCAUUGUAUAAGUCUCCAUUUUUCAAAACCAUGGUGGGGACACUUGAGGAGUAAAUCAUUGAAUCUUUCCCAACACUCGUAAAAUUGCUCACUCUCUCUUUGAUAAAAAUCACUUAUCUCUCUCCUAAGGGCAUUUGUUUUAGACAUAGGGAAAAACUUGGUGAGAAACUUAUUACUCAAUUCAUCCCAUGUACUAAUAGACCCAGCAGGAAGUGAAUUCAACCAAGCUUUUGCUUUGUCUUUUAAUGAGAAAGGGAACAUACGAAGCCUAAUUGACUCAUCAUUAAAAUUUUGAAAACGAAAUGUAGAGCAUAUGUCAAGAAAUUCCUUAAUGUGCAAAUAUGGAUCCUCUCUCUCUAACCCAUGGAAGGAUGGCAAAAGUUGAAUGACAGAGGGCUUAAGUUCAAAGUGUGUUGCUGUAGUUUGUGGCAACACAAUACAAGAUGGUUGGUUGGCUGCAAGUGGUGAAAAAUAUUCUCUAAGGGUUUUCUCUGCUUGCGCUGGUGGGAGUAUUGGCAAUAGUCUAUUUGGGUCAUCCAUCACUUCUAAAGAACUAGUUUGACUACUAUCAAUUUUCGACUCUCUUUUAACCAAACGAUUUGUUGAAUCACGUUCCCAAACACUCAUAAACUAACUAGACAAGGAAAGAAAGAGAAAUAAAAUAAAAUAAACCAACAAAAAUGAGAAUAAACGAAAUUUAAAAAUAAAAGAAAUCAAACAACCAAACAAUGAAUUUAAAAUAAAAUAAAAUUAAAAUUAAAAUUAAAAGUUUUUUUUUUGUGUUUUUUUUUAAAAUAAAAAUUGAAUAAAUAAAAUAAAAGACAACCUAAAUUAUAACUAGUGGAAGAAUCAAAUUAACCUAGAUUAAACUGACUUUCUAGCACAAUCCCCGGCAACGGCGCCAAAAACUUGUUGUGAAAAUUUUAAUAUACUCGCAAGCGCACGAAUCUAGAAAUAGAGUAGUGGUAACGAGGUCGAUCCCACAGGGAUUGAUAAAAAGUCUAAUUUAAAUCUAAAAUUAAUAUUACUCCUAACCUAGUUGAGCAAAUUGAGUUUUUAAGAAAAUUAAACCAAUUAAACUAAGGAAGCAAUUAAAAUAAAAGAGAAUUCAAUAAGAUAGAAAUUACCAAGGUUUCAGAAUCCACCACUAUUCAACUAGUAAUUAUCUAAUUAUUAAUUAAUCCCCAAUUUUAGAGUGACAACUCGAAAUCAAUCUAUGUCAUCUCAUAGAUAUAACAAUUAAGCCCAAGUAAUUAAAUCUAAUGUAGGUUCUUUUUCUGCUUAAUAAUAUGACAUCUAAGCCUCCCAUGUAAACAUAUUGAAUAACAAAGAGUCAAAGUUUUCCUAAGCACUCUAUGUAAACAAUUUAAUGAAAGACAUAAAAUCAAAGAUAAUCAUGUAUAAACUUUAUAGAUCCAAGCAUAGAAUUAAUCGAAUAUUAAUCCUAACAAUCAAUAAUGCAUGACAGAAUUGAUGAAAAGAUUUUAAUAACAUCCAAUUAAUCAUGUGAAAUAAAAACCAUAAUUAUCAAAGAACAUAUAUAGGGAAUUAAUUAAAUAAAAAGAGAUAAUUAUUUCAUUGAAUAGGGUUUCAUCCUUAACCUCAGUAUAAGAAAAUUAGCUAGACAUACUUGAAUUGGGAGCAACAAAAUAAAUAAAUUCAGCCAUGGGGAAGCCGAAAUAUUGCUGCUGAUUUUCUUCUCUGUCUUGAAUCCUUGCGUCUCCAGUUCCCUUCUUCCUCCCGUGGCCCUCUUGCCUUUAUAUAAUGUUACUGACUUGCUUAAUCCUUAUUGGAUUCUAAUUGCAUUAAUUCUUCUCCACCGACUUAUAAAGCCCACUCACCAAGGCCUUUUAAAAUUAUUUCCUUAUUAAACUUUGAAAGCAAAGCACACGUUUGACCACAAAAGCAAAAGGCCAAUUAAUGAUUUCUUCUUUUAAUGCCCAGCACAUGCAUUCCAAAUUGCCAAAUCUUUGCUUUCCAAAUGCAUGCCCACCGUUCAUCCUUUGAAGAGAUUGACUUCCAAUUUUGGUCUUCUUGACUUCCAUUAAUUCUUGGUUGCAUUUUUGUCUUCCAAUUUAAUCUUUAUUCCUUCUCAAUUUGAAGUGUUUUCAUGCCCUUUUUAUCAACAAUCUCCAAUUAAUUCCCUAUUCAAUAAAACAAUUCAAUUAAUUAAAAAUAAUAAAUAAAUAUAACUAGCAAUUAUAUUAUUAAAGGUAAAAUAUGUAUAUAAAUUAUGCUCAUCAAUGAUCUAACUUUAUAAUCUACAAAUAAAGUUCUUUAAAGACAAACUCAAAAGAGAGGUCGUUACAUUAUGUGGUAGAAAAUGUGGCCAAGUGCAAAGUGCAUAGUGACAAACUUGUCCGGUCUAUGGAUUGUCGUGGGAUAGCCUAUAAAUGGGAGGCCAAGUCUAGCAUUGUCGCUGUAAAGCGAAGCCCGGCAGUGAAAGAAAACGUAUUCAAAAAGCUCCACUUGUUAUGUAAAAUCUCAGUUAGCAACUUUUUCAUUACUGCCCUCCAGCUUUAGCUAAAUUAGGUAAGAUUGUAGUAAUAAUUUCCACGUUAGCCAAUCGAGCCCAAUAAAUUCCCCUGCCUCAACACAGCAACACUGUACGCAGUAUGUAAAUAAAACAUCAUCGCAUUCACAACCAUGAAGCCUAAUUUGUACGAGGCUGCAUCUACGGGUAAAAUUGAACCCUUCGAGGAAACUGCAAAAGAUGAACUUGGGAGCAUAGUAACUUACAGAAAGAAUACAGUCCUGCACGUCAACAUUACAUCCCAGGCACAGAAUGGAGAAGCAGAAAGUGUAUCAACCGAGUUCGUGAAACGGAUACUUGAAAUGUGUCCAUCGUUACUGGUACAAGUUAAUGCCAAAGGUGAUGCUCCACUCCAUCUUGCGGCCAAGUAUGGGCAUGCUGCUGUUCUGGACUUUCUGAUUGAAUUCGCGAAAAAACAGCCAAAAGAGCUAGAAAGCGAUGUCGAAACCGUACGGCACAUGCUAGGAAUGACAAAUGACGAUAAAAACACAGCGUUGCACGAGGCAGUGCAACAUCAACAUCAGCGUACUAGCUUGGAUGUUGUGAGAAUGUUAAUGAAAGCAGACCCUGAUGUUCCGUAUUCUCCAAAUGGUCGCUGCGAAACUCCACUUUACAUGGCAGCCGCGAGAGGAUCUAGGGUGAUCGUAGCUGAAAUAUUAAAAUCCUGCCCAUCAGCUGCCCAUGAAGGCCCCAAUGGAAGGACUGCCCUGCAUGCCGCAGUAAGAAGCUAUGCUGCCACUGAUAUUUCUGCUUCAAAUUUACAGCGUACUGCCCUUAAACCUAUUAAAAAUGUAUAGUUAAUUUCACAAAUUAACCAUAAUUCUGCAUAAAAAAUCUUGAAAAUUUUUUCCGAGGAAAUUAUAUAGUUGAGAUUGAGAUUUUGACCAAUGAUCAGGUGAUCGACUAUAUAUGUAUCCUCUGUAAGCUUACACAUCUGGUUGCUCAUUAAUUAACAAUUUUAGCGAGCAAUUCAAGGUUAAUUACCAUUAAUGUGCAUGCUUUAGAUAUAGAAUUCGUUAAUUAAUUAAUUAUUUUAUUUUAUUUAAGAUAUGACGAAACUGUUUCUUGACGAAAAGAAAGAUUUGGCUAGAGCAAGAGACCAUCAUGGUUGGACUGCACUCCACCAUGCUGCGUAUUUUGGUGCCGAAAGCAUCCCAAAACUGUUAUUAGAAUCCAAUACAUCUGUUGCGUAUAUUGCGGACAAUGAUCGGAAGAUGACAGCUCUUCAUUUAGCCGCCGGCCGAGGGAAAUUCCAGGCAGUGGAAGAAAUUAUUUCCUGUUGUCCAGAUUGUUGUGAACUGGUAGAUGACAACGGGUGGAAUGUUCUUCACUUUGCUAUGGUUAGUUUUUAUGCUAGACAAUUGGCGCGUCUGCUGGACAAAUUUCCGAUAGUCAGAAGUCUUAUAAAUGACAAGGACGUGAAGGGGAACACUCCUCUUCACGUGCUUGCUGCUGUCUGUCCAGACUCAGCCAGUAUCUCUUACGUUUCCGUAAUCUGCCUGGUAAAAGUUAUUAUGAGGCUAUCAACAAGCAGAAUAUUAGUGUUCAACACAUAGCAAAUUACGGAUAUCCUGAGCUAGAGGUAAUUCCCUCUUUAGUUAUCAUCAAUGUUCUCGAAAGAGAAUAUAUAUAUAUAUAUAUAUAUAUAUAUAUAUAAGGCAAAUCAAUUAUCCAUGUCAUCUAAUCUUUCACCUUUUAUUAUUCUCUAAUUUAAAGGCUCAAAAUUCAUGUAACAUUGCGUCUAAAAAGUUAGCAUGCUGAUCCUGCCCUUAGCCAAGCACUUCUUACAGCUCGCACUUCCGUGGCGUAUGGAGCUUGCCAUUUGGGCAGAAUAAGUGGGUCCAAUGGGAUCCAUCAACUUUAAAUUAUCAAAUUUUUCGAAAUAAAUUGGUGAUCUAGUCCGAUCCUAUAAUGGGACUAGCUUGACCUCUCCAAAUGACAGGUUGUGAUUAGUCGGUCUCAUCACUUUAACAAGUUUUUCUCAUUAAUUAAAAGCAUCUCUUACCAACUCUUGAUGCUAAAGCUUGUCUCUCUCUCUCUCUCGCUAUGUUUUCAUAUAUCCUCUUUAGUUAAAAUUAAUCGAUUUCUUAUUUUUUGUCUCAGCUUGUUUGUAUAACGGUGUGUGGUGGCCAAAACCGAAAUCAGUUUCUAGCCCUCUAUUUCUUUUAUGAUUUAAUCUCAAAUGGCAAGUGAAAAAGAAAAAACUAUUUGAAAACCACUCAAUUAAGGUGAAUAAUUAAAAUUAGAAGACUGUUUUUCAGGUUCCACAAACACUAUAGAGAAGGAGAAUGCUUCUCAACCAAGUUCAUGGAACGCAUACUUGAAACGCGUUCAUCAUUGCUGCUAUGACGAAGGUGAUGCUCCACUCCAUGUUGCGGCCAAAUGGGGGCAUGCCCGCGGUGUGGAAAGCACAGCAAGGCGAAUGCUAGGAAUGACAAAUGGUGAAAAAAAUUAAAAAAACGCAGCAUUGCACGAGGAAGUGCCAUGUCGUAACUCGUAAUGGCCUCAAUCUGUGAAAAAUUUAUUGAAAGCAGACACUGAUUUUCCGUAUUCUGCUAAUGGUAGAGGCGAAACUCCCCUUUACAUAGCUGCCGCGAGUGGAAAUGACAAUAUGGUAGCUGAAAUAUUAGAAAACUGCCCAUCGAGGCCCCAGUGGAAAGACUGCCCUUCAUGCAGCAACCACCACUUAAUCAGAUGCCGCUUAAUUAUAUAUCUUGUUAUCCACUUCAAAUAUAAAGAUGCCUAUAUGUACAAUAGCUAUGAAUUAAAUCUGUAUUUAAAUGCAUCUUGUUUAACGUCUGUAUGAAUAUUAAUUAAUGUUGUUACUUUUACAAUUCUAUCUUUCCGAAUUGACUGUGCUUCAUAUAAUUAUGUAUUUAGUUGGCUGUUUAUUAUUAUUAAUUUUUUAUUAGGCGUUACAAAAAAUUUACUUGAGAAAAAAAAGAAGAGUUUGACCAGAUAAAGAGACCAAGACGGUUGGAUCGUUGGCCCCCACUUCACUACGCUACGUAUUUUGGUCGGAGUAUCAUCGCAGAGUUGGUAAUAAAACUUGAUAAAUCUCUUGCGUUCAUUGUAGACAAGAGCUGACAGCUCUUCAUUUAGCAGCCGGUCAAGGGAGUUUUGCCCAUUUUGAUAUUAAAUUCGGCCAGCUUACAAAUUAUAAUAUUUAAAUUAUUUGGUAAAUAAUGAUUGAUGUAUUUUAAAAAUUAAAUUAAGUUAAUUAAUUAUUUAUAUAAUAAAAAAAUUAUAAUAUCUUUAUUUUUUUAAUUAAAAUUUUUAUUUAAAAAUCAUAUUUACUACCCACUACUAAUUUUUAUUUCAUAAUUAUAAUUUUUUACCAUAACAACAUAAACUUAAAAGUGUACAGCAUCCAAAUUGUCCAAUACCAACCAUGGCUUCCGCCGUAGUGGAUGAUAUUAUUUCCUAUUGUUAAGAUGUUGUGAAUUGAUUUAUGAAAGAGGAUGGAAUGUUCUUCACUAAUAGAGAAUUGAAAUAUGACAAAUAUAGGAUAGUUAGAAAUCUUAUAAGGCAAUUCCUAAGUUACGUUUAACGUAACAUACAAUCUGAAAAAUUUUAUCCGUUCAAAGUUCUAAAAUCUAAUCCAAUUGCUAGUGUUUAAUUUGUCCAAAAGCUGUAAAGGACGGAAACCGGCUGAAUUGGUGUGCCCAUUUGACAAUCUUCUCUUCCUCUCCAGUCUCCACUAACAUUUUCUUGCUCCUUUAUUGCCUUUUGCAGCAUCUUUUCCUGCUCUUUAACACAAAAAAAAUUUAAAUCCGACAAGAACUCAUCUUUCUUUACAAGCAAAUCAAGAUCAUCACCAAGAAUUAGACUUUUCUUGUUCUUUUUCUUCGAAGCACUCUUUGGAGAACAUAAAAAACAGCCCUUUCUCUGAGGUGGAGACAGCGGAGAAGAAGGUGAAUCCAUCCAUGAACUCGGAGAACUCAACGACGAAGAAAAUGAGUUAGAUUUCGACUUCAACUUUGAUUUCGAGGAAACAACGACAAUAGGAACAGAAGCAAAAACAAACCCACACCUGGAAUUUUCUUUAAAGUCGAUUUUUUAAUCUGGGUUCUAUUUGGACUCAAAGAAAAUGGCAAAGGAGGAGAGGAAUCACAACUAGAAACUGAUUUUGCAGUCUCCAAGCCGAGUUUCCCAUAUGGGUUUUAUUUGGAAUAAAAAAAACUCUUAACUUUAAAGUUGGAUUUGAAUAAUGAUGAUGAAGAGAUUGUGUGUGUUUUUCGGUGUGACGAUGAUGAUUAUCAUUGAUGUGAGUUUUGGGUUUGGCAGUAGCUGGAAAAGAUUUGAGCCUGCAAAAUUGGGAUUCUAACUUAAUGGGAAGGAUUGAGUCGUCGGAGAAACCAGAAAAGUUGACGGCAGAGACAACCACCUGUAGAAGGGUGUUGCCUGCGUUGACUUCUUUUGAUGACCGACUUCCAACCACUUAAAUCAGUAUUAUUUUAUUAUUGUUAUGUUUACCUGGCAUAUAAUUAUUGGUCAACUAGUCAUGUCAUCAGCUAUAUGUUACGUUUAACGUAACUUAGAGGGAUCCAUCUUAAAAAUGACAAGAACGGGAACACUCCUCUCCAUGUACUUGAUGCUCUCUGUCGACAAUCAUCCUGUAGCAAAAUAGUACUGCUGAACACAUAACACGUUAUUGAUUCACGACCGAGGUAAUUAAUUGCCUUUUUACUAUUAAUAUUUCAAAGACGACAAAUUUAUUCUUAUAUCAUCUCAUCAAGAACUCAUAGCAACAAACAUGAUUAAUAUAUUAUAGUAUAGCAAGAAAUCUGAGAAAGCUGAUGGCCGUAAAAAAUAUCCAAAAGGUGUCAUCAAAAUGAAGGAAGACAAAAUUUUAAAAGUUUUCGCAUUGCAAGUAUGUAGAUGAAUAUGUCGUUGGAACGAAACAAGCAAGAGAUCGUCACAUUUGGGUGUGGUAGCAUUGAUUGCAACAGUAACAGGGGCACUGCAAUUCUCACUUAAAAAUGAAACUUUUCAAGCAUUUGUUGUAUCAGACGCCAUAACCAAGGUCUUGUUACUUUCUGCCAUCUUUGUCCCUCUUCAUUAUGUCAGAUAGAGAUGGCCAAUGGGCUGGGCGGCACAUGGCACGGCACGUGUCCGUAUAGCACGGCGCAGCACAAGCACGUUUCAGUGGGGUAUGCGAUAUGACACGGCACGCACACAGGCUGAGCUGGGCUUAGAAUUUUAGCCUUGCGAGCCUUGAAAGCACAAUACGAUUAGAGAUGGGCUAAAACACAGCACGAGAAAGGGCAUAAGCAAGUUUAACUUUUUUGUGGAAGUGAAGUAAAAAUUUUAUGAUUUUACAAAUAAUUUGAAAUUGAAUCUUUUUAAUAUAUUUUAUUAGCACAAGUUUUAUAAAUAUAUAUUAAUAUUAUUAUGGACUAUGAUCUAUAACUUUAUAUAAGUCAAAGUUAACAAGUUAAUCCUUAAAAAAAAUUUAUUAUUGUUGUUGUUAAGUAUUGCAAAGGAAUUUUAAUACCGUAGGGUCUAACUUAAUAAUUAUUAUUACAUUCUCUUACUAUUAUUAAUUUAUUAUUAUUGAAUAUAGACUUAUACUUUGAAUUUUUAAUUCUAUUGAAUUUGACUAAAGACACAUAGAACAAAAAAAGUAUAUAGGCUUGAAAAAAGUAUGCCAACAACUUGGUAUGCCCUCUUAAAAAAAAAAAGUUUGUCAUGUUAUUUUUUUUAGGCACGACAUGGCGCACGGGACGCCACUUGUGGGUAAGCCACAAGUGGGCAUAACACAUGUGCUAGAUUGAGUCUGAGUAAAAAAAAUUGGGCACAACACAAAGCACAUAUUGGCACGGAACGACAUGAGUAUGAGCAUGCAUAGGCAUUCUUUUGAUGGCCAGCCUGACCCAUUGGCCAUCUCUACUAUCAGUUAAUUAGUUAUCUCCUUUCGUUUACCUUGGUUACCACAGUAGCAAUGGUGGUAGCAUUUGUUCCAGGCACGUCCGCAAUAUUGGCACCUGCUUUAGGACUCGCCACUGUCACUUGUAUCAUUGGCUUUGUCGUGACCUAACCCAAACCUGAUAAGAUAUUGUCCGCUUUGGGCAUUCACAAAGCUCGCACUGUUUUGUUCCUGGGGCACUCAAACACCCCAGGAACAAAACCGUGUGGGUCUUACUAAAACCCAAAGCGGACAAUAUCUUACCAUGUCUGGGUUGGGUCAUGACAGGUUUCGUCAGAAACCUUGUUUCUUUUAUCAAUCAACUUUAAAUGUUUUCGUUUCGUCAUAAUGAGUGUCAGCUAUUGCAAUGGCUAAAGUUUCUUCUUAAUCUAGUUACGUAUAGCUCAUAUAAGCUUCUUCUUUUGUGUUGCGCUAUUAGAGGAUUAAGUGCAAACACAACAUCUUUCUCAAUCUUUGGGUUCUUGUCAAGGGUAAUUUUUAGGGACCUCCUAUGAGGUUUAGUGUAUUGAUAGUUUGAUAGAAAGUAUUCACGUAAUUACAGGGACCUCUCCCGACGUUAGUGUUCCAUUACGUGGAUCGUUAGAUGACUAUUCAUAUUUCAAAAAUACCCUUACCUCAAAAAUACCCUUACCGCUAAAAUAUAUCUUUAUUAAUAUGAUAAACUGAUGGGUAAUAGAAUUCACACCAAAAUACCCAAUGGAUAAAAAAAAAAUUACAUUGCAUAGCUAAAAUAAAAUUGAUAUUGUGCUCCCAAUAUUACUAUUGUAAAUAUACGGUAAUAUGUUCAGCAGCAACACCUAUAAAUAGAUCCUUUUGUAGGCUUAAUAAAUCACCAUAGCACACUUUUUCUUCUUCUUCUUCUUCUUCUUCUUCUUCUUCUUCUUCUUCCUCAUCUUCUUCUUUUUAAAAAUUCUUAAAAUCUCUUGUGCUGUAAUUUUUCAAACUCAUGACCGAUUUAGUUCAACUCAUCAACACAAUCAUUAAAAAAAAUCAAGCUUAAACACUGCCUGAAAGCCCUAAAUUCUCAAAGCUCUAAUAUAUCAUGCACAUCAACCAUUGAUUGAAUUCAUAGGCUAUCUUUUUUAUUUUAUUCUCCAAUUUGAAGAAAAAUAAACUUGCCAUAUUUCUUUAGCAUAUGUCAUUUCCGUGUUUGUUCUUAUGAAACCUUGUUUUCUGAUUAGAGGACACAACAGAUUUGUCAACUGAAAAUAUAAAGCAUAAGCUUCGUUUACAGGCUAUGGAACAAGAAGCUCAAUUACAUGAUGCUAAGUUUAUUAUAUGCCUGGUUUUAUUAUUAUCGUUACAGUCACUUUCCCAUAGUUGGCAUGUCAAGUUAUCCAAAUUCUAGCAGCCCCCAUGAUAAAGCAAACUUUUUGUUUUGUUAAUUAGAACACCGAUUCCUAAAUAAAAAAAAAAAAACAAAACAAUAUCCAAGAGUUGGCUUGCACAAGUCAUGCCCACUAUAUGGCCUAUGCUCAUAAUUCAUAAAGUGGAGUCCCAUCCCUUCAAAAAAUCAAAAUCCAUAUAUAUAUAUAUAUAUAUAUAUAUAUAUAAUUAAAUACCACUAAGAUGGUGGGGGGUUAGGUUGUACCCCUACCUGUAGAAUAUAGGCUUGGCAAAAUCCGGGUCCGGUCCAGGUUUUGGUGUUGCCCAAGACCGGACCAGAUGAGUGAACCUCAAGACAAGACCCAGGUUUAAACCCGAUUUUUCUGGGUGCGGUCCGGGCUCAAGCCCGGCACCCUCGGGCCAAGUUUUUUUAUCCGGGCUUCUAAACCCCCAUGUGAUAACUUCAAUUUUUUUCUUCAAUUUUUUCUUUCAUUUCUCUAACAUUGCAAAUUUUAGAAAAGAAAAUAGUCAAAUAAACUCAUUCAAUCUCAAGCUUUAAGAAAGAAAAUAAUCAAAUACAAAUAUAUAACAUACUAACAAUGCAAAUUUUACACAAAUAAUAAAUAAAAAUUUUUCAAUCUACUUUCUAAUACCUAAAUUCAUCCAAUUUAUAACCUAAACUCAUUCAAUCUAUAUAAAAAAUAAAAUUAAAUUCAACAACACAAUAAUCACACAAUAAAUCUAAAUAACAUCCAACAUAUCAUAAAUUCAUAUUUAUAUAUUUAUAUAUAAUAUAUCAUAUAUUUAUAAUUUUUUUAAUUUAUUAAGAAACCGGGUCUGGGUUCCGGGUUUUUGGUGUUGAGCCUGGACCCGGGCCUGAAAACGUCCAGGUUUGAGAAUUUCAAACCCGGGUUUGGUUUUUUUGUGUAUGCACCCGGACCGGAUUGCGUAGGUCCGGGCCGGAUCCGGUCCGGACUGGCCUUUUUGACACCCCUAGUAGAAUAAAUCAGUUAAUGAAAGAAUAUAAGGAGGGGGACCUAAACAUCAAAAUCCAUAUAUAUAAAUAUAUAAUUAAUUGGCAGGAAUAGAAACUGUAACUCCAGCAGCCCAUUCUUCAUUAGCACCUUUGCUUCUACUCAUUCUUCCCUUGAAACAGAACAUAUAUGCAUAAACUAAAACUAACACACUACUCUUUGGGGAAGAUCCUCCUACAAAAUUGUCCGUCGCAUUGGUACAGGUGAUAUUCAUUCUGUCAACAAGCAAAAUAUACGUGUCCAACAUAUUGUACGUUACGGAUAUCCUGAGCUUCAAGUAAAAUUAUCGGCCUAUUUGGGAUUGAAGUUAAGCAGGCAGAAUUAAAAUGUUUAGUAAACACUAUCUGUUAUAACUUGAAAGUUAAGUUUGAUUUGUUUUAUAUAUACUUAUAUGAUGAAAAAUCAUUAUAUCUUUACAAAUUUUGUCAAAAUUAUUAUUUACAAAUUAUAUUUACUAUAUAAUUUAUCUUUUAUUUUAUAUAUAUAUAUAUAUAUAUUUCAGCAGCUAUAACUUAAAAGUUUUAAUGUCUCAAUCUCAAACGGAGUUUAUUAUUACAAUUUGCAAAGUACAAUUAUUAUUCAUUUUAUUACUACCACUUUCUUUUUAGUUAUUGUGAUAUAAUUUAGCAAAUUUGAACAAUAUAUUGCAGCGAGAAAUCCAAGAGUUGUCCAAAGAUAUUGGUCGUGGAUAAUAUCCAAAAAGUGUUGUCAAGAUGAGACAAGACAAAUCGUAUUCGUUUUGGAAAUUUCUGGAUGAAAAUGUCAUUGGAAUCAAAGAUGCAUCAGAAUCAUAGUUGGUAGUUGCAGCACUCAUAGCGACAGUGACCUUUACGGCAGCAUUCAUUGUACCGUGUUGUUACAAGAGUGAAGACAGCCCAAGCCAGGGCACUGCAAUUCUCACUAAAAAUGCAUCCUUUCGAGCAUUUGUUAUGACAAAUGCCAUGGCCAUGGUCCUCUCACUUUGAACUGUAUUUGUCCAUUUCAUUAUGUCACUUAAGGCAUUCCAACAAUUGGUCUUUUUAUUCAUUGUCGCCCUUUUGUUCACCUUGACUGCCAUGGUAGCAAUGGUGAUUGCAUUUGUUACAUGCACAUACGCAGUGUGGGGAACUUCUUUAGGGCUUGCCAUUCCCACUUGUAUCAUUGGCUUAAGCUUCUUCUUCUGGAUCAUUUUCAUGUAUUACGUGGUAUUAUAUCAGGAACGAAAUAUUAAUUAGUCAUGAAUGCACGGUUUCAAUAAAAGUACAUGUAUACCCCCUCUUCAAUGAACUAUAUAAUUAUACAGAAGAAAUAAAUCUCCAUGUUCAGGAAUUUGCAUUCUUCUUUGUCUUUAGUAACGCCAAUCAAUACCACAAUCCUGCAGAUUGAUCAGAUCGCAUCCUCAAAUAAUCUAACUACAAAAUUAUUAACCAAUUUGGAGGAACAAAUACUUUACUUGUGUCCAUCACUUCAUCACACUGUUUAACAGAGUAAAUGUGACAUUUUCUCAUAAAAUUUCUUGAUAUUUUUACAUAUAUACAAUUUCUUCAAUUUUCGGUCCUUCGAUGUUUGGUUCAAUAAUUUAAUUUAUUAAAACCGAUAUAAUUAGUUUUUCUCUUAAUUAAAAAGAAUCAAACCAUUAGUUCGAUUCAAUUUUUUUGGUUCUUAAUUUAUUUUGCAUCCCUAUUUGAUAUUGUACAUUAUAUUUUUAUUUUAUUAAGCAUAGGAAUCAUAGCAAUUUCUAUGUUUAAAUUAUAAUGAACGCUAUAGUGUGAGGAAAUCAGCUGCUGGUCAGCUGCUGGUCAUUGGGUUUAAGUGCAAGAUUUGAAGAAGUCUGGGGGCAUUGUGCAGAUCGACUUCAGCUGGAGGGGUCUAGUUGAAAUCUUAAAGCUGAUGUGGCAGAAUUCGUUAUGAAUUCUUUAUAGCUUUCCAGAAAUACCAGAAUAUAAACACACGUGUUUUAGCCUCUGAUAUCAUAUCAAUAUCUUCUUCAUUUAUUGGUCAUUUUGCUAGCCAUUUGGUUCUUUGUGAUCCUUGUAAUUCCUUCUUGGUGAUUAGCUUGUAUUUCGUUUUGUUGAGAUCAAUAAAAGAGCAUUUUUUUUUCCUUCAUCGAGUUGUGUAUUUGAAACUGUGCUCUAUUCAGUUUCUCUUGUUUUUUCUUUCUUGAUUAAUUUGUUUUGAUUUGUUCUUUAAAAGCUCAAUACGUUAAUUGAGUUAUAACAUAUAGCCAUGAUUAUUUAAUUUUUGGAUGGUUAAGGUAUAGCUUAUAAUUAAUUAAAACUCACUUUGAUGAACUCCUUGACAAACAAAAAGUAUGAUUGUUUACUGGAUGGUAGCAUAUUUAAAUUAAAUAUCUAAGCAACUGCAUAAUUAAUAAAAUUUUAUCAUUCAAUAGUUAAAUAAUACACCAUCUAAGAUCAUAUCCUGUAUCACUUAAGUAUUUUGAUUCUUUUUUUAUAAUGCAACAAUCAGAACUCAUAUAUAGCAUAUUCCCUGUUACUUAAUUUAUUGGGAUUAUAGUUGGCCAGCAAACCUUUGUGCAUACGCAUUGGUAACUUUAUUUUCUCCGACUAUUACACAAUACCGAAUUAGCGAUUCCAAGACGCAAUGAGGCCACACAAAGCGUAGUUAGGCUUGAAGCUAAUGGUGGGGAAACAAAGGACCCAUUUGUUACUAUGGUAAGAUAAUUGUGGUUUUAAAGUUACAACCUUAAAGUUUUGGAUAAACACUUAGAGCUGCAACUAAGCACUUAGAUAUGCAACAUAGAAGUUGAAGUAAUUUUAUCUAACAACGAUAGGUAAAAUACUUAUAAUAUCCCUGUAAUUUAUCAAAAAUAUAAUUAGACUUUCUAAUUUUUAAUUUUAAAUAAAUAUUUACAUUUCAUUAUAGCAAAAUAAAAAAUUAAAACCAGUUGUUACUGUCGCCAUCUAAAGUUGUCCAAAAUAUAAUAAAAAACCACCCAGAGAUUACACCGUUGGUACCUUUAGAAUCCUUUUCUCGUCAUCUAUCCAACGGUGCAUCCUUGCACCUCAACCUCAAUCCUAUGUAUGUCAUUAUAGGAUCCAGCUUGGGCACCGUACCCCCUCUUUUUUUGUCGUUAUUCUGUCUAGCCGUUAGAUUUUAAUUACUUCAAUCUAACGGUUGGGAUUUGUAAAUGAAUAAUGAAACGAUGUUUGGCGAUUUUUUGCUUUCUUCUCUGUAAUGCUUGACUAGUUCUGGAAAUAUCAACCGCCAUCGACGAAAAAUCUGAAGCAGUUAUCAUUUUUUAGUUGUGGGUAAACGUAACAGGAGCAAGGACGACGUGCGAGUUCGGAUUGGAGGUGUUCACCGUGAAAUUGUUUUUUAGUGUGCUAAUCUAACGACUUUCGAAUACAUUCAUUGAAAUAUUAAACGUCCUAGUAUAUAGAUUUAUGUUUUACAAAUUGUUGCAGGAUAGCGAAAACUGUAAUCUUCCAGAUGAUCAUUCCCAACACGGCAACACCUAUGGCUCUUUUCCUUUAAUUUGCCUCUUUAAAUUUUCUUUUGAUUAAUCAUUAAAAAACUGCUUUUUUUUUUAUCAUUUGUUGUUAACAUUUACAUGGUUAAUGUCAUCGAAAUCCGAUGGUUAUCAUUUAUGGAAAGAUAAUUGCCAGAAAUUUUGUUAAUCCCACUGCAAUAAGAUAUUGUGUAAAUUGUAUUGUUUUUUGUCAUAAGUACAAUAAAAUUUUGAUAAAUUAAUAGUUUUCGGACCGUGAAAAAGUCUAUUAAAUCUAACGAACAUCAGUUAAUUGAUAAAUUAAUAAAUUAUUAAUUUAUGAAAAUAUUCAUUAUUUUGAAAAAAAAAUAUGAUCAUGUUUAUAGUACUGAUUUACCUUGAGUUGGUAUCUAUUAUUAAAGUCAGCAAAAAUGGUCACCGAGUAGUAUUCGUAUUGUGUCAACUUCGUGUCGUGUCAAAUUUAGAUCGACCCAAACACAACCCAUUCAAUAAUCGUAUCAAAAUAUUAAGACACAAACUCGACAUGAAAAAUAAAUAUGUUACUCAAUAAUCCUUUUAAUAUCUAUAUAUUUAAUAAAUGUUUUAUAUAUGUAAAAACUAAAAUAUUACAUAUUUACACUAUUAAAGUUUUAAUUAUAUAUAAAUAAUAUUAUAUAUCAAUAUAAUAAAAUAUAUGUAUCUAUCAAUAUUUUAAACACUUAUACUAUAAAAGUUCUAAAUCUAUAUAAAAUUAUAUAAAUAAAACACUGUGUAUAUGUUCAUCUUUCCCCAAAAAACGAUAAUAAGAGAAAAUCAUGUUUAACAUUUGAGUUUUAAUGGCAAGAAUUUACAAAUUAAUUUAAAAUGGAAAAUAUAAUUAUGUUAUUUGUUGGAUAAAUGGGUCAAAAACUUUAACUAGGAAUGACAAAAAAGCCUGGGCCGACCCUGUCAAUUCUUACAGGCUUUGACCCGGGCUUCCCGCAUGAGGGUCUGGACAAGAGCUUAAGAAAAAAAUUUUGGGCCAAGCCUAAGCUCUUUAUUUCUUUUAAAAAAUAAAUUUAUAAAUUAGAAUAAUAAAUUGAAAUUUGAAAAAUAAUGGAAAAAAAAGAUUGAGUCCCUAAUUUAUAUAUCAAUAAUGAAUCAAAAUACUUAAAAUUAUAAUACUAAAUUCUCUUUUAAGUAUUAAUUAAUUAAGAGAGUCCGUGAAUUAGAGAAUCCAGUACAAAAAAAAAAAAAACAAAUCUCUAAACUUUUAUUUGCUUCAUUUUCUUUUUUUAUUAUUUUUCUUUUAUUCAUUGUUAAUUAUAAAACUUGAUUAUUAUUAACUCAUUUCAAGUUUACAGCAAUUUGAAAAAAAAAAAAAGUAAAAGUCCAAGUUCAGUCCAAGUCCAACCCUUACACUUUUAUUCUAUUGGGCUUGGGCCUAGGCUCCAACCCCUUAAAUUGUCAUCCCUAACUUUAACCCUAACCAAACAUUAAAAAAAAAAAAAAAAAAAAAAAAAAAAAAAAAAAAAAAAA
Molecule: long non-coding RNA, 63374 nt
Filed under: Citrus maxima (pomelo)
Lineage: Eukaryota; Viridiplantae; Streptophyta; Magnoliopsida; Sapindales; Rutaceae
Description: long non-coding RNA (CMAX_LNC003629)
Rfam family: Plant small nucleolar RNA R71 (bases 47630-47736)
Source: RNAcentral